This 64682-nucleotide long non-coding RNA is filed under the name Citrus maxima (pomelo). Its description in RNAcentral is "long non-coding RNA (CMAX_LNC003105)". The record is from RNAcentral. Lineage: Eukaryota; Viridiplantae; Streptophyta; Magnoliopsida; Sapindales; Rutaceae.
UGAGGAUGCUCCUGUGGAAGAUGUAAUCCCAAUUCUCGUGGCUGCCUUCCAUUGCCAACUGAACAAGCUUCGUUUUUUCUGCAUCCAGAGAAUUGCAAGGUCAAAUCUUGACAAUGUUUGUCUCGAGAAAGAGCUUCCCGAUGAAGUUUCAAGAGAAAUCAAAUCACUCCGUGUCAAAUCUAACCAGGAGUCUGAAGCUAUUAUAGCAGAAGUGGAUCCCAUGCAUGCAAAAAUAGUCAGUAGAAUCCACAAGGCGCUGGACUCUGAUGACGUUGAACUGUUGAAGCUUCUUCUGGAUGUAUCUAAUGUCACUCUGGAUGAUGCUUACGCUCUGCACUAUGCUGCUGCCUACUGCAACCCUAAGGUUUUUAAGGAAGUGCUCAAUAUGGGCUUGGCUGACCUCAAUCUUAGGGAUGCAAGAGGACGUACGGUGCUUCAUGUGGCUGCAAGGCGUAAUGAGCCAGAAGUGAUGGUGACUCUGCUGAGCAAGGGAGCAUGCGCAUCAGAAACUACAUCAGAUGGGCAAACCGCUGUAGCAAUCUGUCGGAGAAUGACAAGGCGAAAGGAUUAUCUUGAAGCUACAAAGCAGGGGCAGGGAACUAACAAAGACCGGUUAUGCAUUGAUGUCCUUGAGAGAGAGAUGAGAAGGAACUCCAUGUCUGAGAACUUGGCAAUGUCAUCAGAGGUGAUGGAUGAUGAUUUCCAAAGGAAGCUGGACUAUCUGGAAAAUAGAGGUGAUAAUUUCUUUACUGGUAUUAGUUCAUCACCUUCUCAGAGUUUGUGCAUAGCACACUUCUUUCUACUGUUUGUUUGUCCAUUCAUCUGGAAAAUAGAGGUGAUAUUCCUUUGCUGGUAUUAGUAAAUCAUCUUCUCAGAGUUUGUGAGUCCCUUCAUCUUAGGAUCUCAAACACACAUGGGCUCAUUGCUUGGAGCACACUGUUGGCCAGUCGUGUGAUUUGAUCCCUUUUUUGGAAUAGACAACUCUGAAUCCAUCUGAUCUAGGCUUGGCGGUUUGCACUGAACUGGUUUUUGAUGAAUAAUUGCACAAGACUUUGUCAUCAAAACUUUUAUUUUUUGGUUUUUUUGCCCCAAAAGUAAUGAGGUACAAAAAAAAUCUAUGCCUAUCCUGGAUGACUGCCAUAACAGCUUCUUAAUAUUUUGCAGUGGCUUUUGUACGGUUGUUUCCUUCUGAAGCUAGAGUAGCUAUGGAAAUAGCAGGUGCAGAUACCGCCACUGGCCUUUCAGCAUUAGGUCAGAAAGGACUAAGUGGGAACUUAAAGGAGAUUGAUUUGAAUGAAACGCCCUCUAUGCAAGCCAAGAGACGCCAAUUGAGACUGCUAACUCUGCUUAAAACAGGUAUUUAUAUACUUUAUUAACUUUUGCACCUUUCUAUUUACUGAUUAUCUUUAUAAUUAACUAAUACAUGUAUCCAGGUUUCUCCUUCCAUUUCUAAAAGGUUUCUCCUUCCAUUUCAUUAGAAGUAAAUUGGAAUUUCUUUAUAGUGCUCUGUUAGGUGUAAUCAGAUGUAUCAAAAGAGAAAGGGUAAUUGUUAGUACAUUGAUAUCUCAACAAAAUGGUAGAACCUUUCUUUAUACCAGUAAGACAUUUGUUGCAGGUAUGCCUACAUAAUCAGUGUCCUUCAAAACUUUCAAGGAGUUAGCAAUGCCUAACCCCUGAAACACUAAAUCUCACGGGAUCAACUCUUUACCUCUAGACCGAAGGUGUGACACCCAGACCCAAUUAGGGCUUAGAACACAUAUCGAAUCUGAGUGAAACUAAAUGCCUGUAAAUCCAAAUCUCCAAAAUAUCAUAAAGUCAUCUACUUUCUCUUUUCAUGUAUUUCACAAAAUUUUGAAAAAUUCAUUCUCAAUCAUAAACUAUGCACAGCUAAUUAUUCAGCAUAUCAGUAUAGAGCAAUACUUCCUCAUAAGCAAAUAAAUCUUACAAUCCUUCUUAAAUGAUUUGAAAAAAAUACUAAUAGAAGUCUUCUAGAUACAAACAUAAACAGAAUUCAACUGUUUAAAACUAUGCCAAAACACAAGCUUCAAUCAGUAAUGCAUACGACUAAUUAUUAAAAACAUCUAGCCAGAAACCUUACGAAAGCUCAAUCCUUUCGAAGCAUUCUUCAAAUUAAUAAUUGCUACCAUCUGUGAAAAAUAAUUGACAAGGAGUCACCUGUGAACUCAAUCAGUAGAAACAUUCGUAACGAACAAAAAGAAUUCUUUGUGCAAUAUUUUCAGAAAAUUCAUUUAACCUUUCAAAUGAAACAGAGUAAUUUUUCUAACGCAGUCAGGAUUUAUAUAAAACACAAACGUUUCAGACAAAAGCUGUGUGGAAUGUAAAUUUUGUUUCUUUAAACAGAAAGUUAUAUAUUAGUUUGAUUUUAAAGGGAGGUUAUUGGGAAGUUAAAAUUGGCAGUUGCGGGAAAAGGGUAAUAGCAGUUAUAAAAUCUCUUUUAAAGCAAAUUCAAAUCAAGUUUCAAAUUUUAGGAGUACUUAAUUCAAUAAAAUAAGGAAUAAAUAAAGCUUUCAUUGAAAUAAAACUAAGUAAAUUCAUUUAAAGCAAAAAAGGAUGGGAGCAUUACUAUGGGUUCUUAUGUUUACCCGCAGUCAGACAUCUGGGACCUUGUUAUUUGGAGACAAGACUUGAUUGUGCCAUGUUUUCCGCAGCUAGACAUCUGUGGAUAAGAGAACCCUAAGCGUAUUGAGAAUAAAUUCCAUAAUCCAAGUCUCUUCAGUUCUUUCAUUUGUGGCUAAUUAGUUAUAAAAUUUGUGAAUUUCAUGCCCCAUGCCCCUUGCAAAAAUGUAUUUUAUAUCCUUAAGAUGCCAGUUGUUGAACUGAAAUAAUAAAAAAUGGAAAACAGACUUAAUGCCGAUAGCAUUUCUUAAGAAAAACUUGGGAUGUUUAUAAGUUUCUUAGAGCAUUUGCUGAACUUUCUGUGAUGGCAGUCGAGACGGGUGACCGCUACUUCCCUCAUUGCUCAGAAGUGGUUGAUCGCUUUUUGGAUUUGAACAAUCCUUCCACCCCAGAAAUGGACGACGAGAAACUUAAAGUAGACGUGCAGGAGGCAUUCUGCAAGGACGUGGCUUAUCACCGUCGUUUAGGGCUGCCAUCAUCCUGGCCGGCAUUUUACCAGUACAUGGCUAGGAGCAAUCAGUCGGCAUUUUACAAGUACGUGGCUGAGAGCAAUGGUUCACGAAUGUCGACAUCCUGGGCAGCGAGCAAUUAAGCAUCACCUUUCCCUAAAAGUUAUAUUUGACACCUGGAAAACUAAAGUAGUUGAGUGAGCUCGAUUGGUAUUUGUAGUUUCUUUUUUUUUUACUCAAGUGAUCUGGCAUAAUUAAAAGUUAUUUGUUUGUCUUCAAAGUUAUUGUAUUGUCUCAAGUCCGGUGAGAUGCGCGAACGUAUAGCAUGCAUCACAAACUCAUUUCAUAGAAUAUUUUUUUGUAUAAUUAUAUAAUUUAUAGGCUUUGCUUAAAAAAUUAAAAAAGAAAAAAAGAAUUGUAUUACAAUUGGUAUGAGGCAUGCUCGUGUGUUAUAUCAGUUGCAUGCGUGUGUUAUAUCAGUUGCUGAACAAACUUUGCCUUUUAGUUUUGUAGGCACUACCAUCUCAAAUUCUCUGUUAUCAUGAAUGAGUAUUUUUUUUCUUUUUUCUUUUUUAAGAAAUCAUAAAUGAGAUUCAGAUAAUCUUUUUAAAAAAAAAAGAAAAAAAAAUGGAGAUUUCUUUUAUUUUUCCUUAAAAAACUGAAGAAAAAUUUAGAAGGUAGUGAGAGACGGAGAAUUAAAGCAAUUUUAUUCACAAAUGUAAUGUGUUUGGUCUAGCAAUACAAACUAAUAAAUUAUAAUUUAUGAGAUUAGUUUACAUAAUCUUAUAUAUAAAAUUAUAUCCUCUGAAUAAAAAUCUUCUCACCUCUUUUGACUUCUCAUUUAGAUGCCCUCUCUAGAAUCUCUCCAGCCAUAAACACAUUUUUAUAAAACAAAACACAAAAAAAAAUUAUAUAUAGUUGUCACAAGGACUAUUUCAUUUGCACAUAAUACGCAAUUGGUCAUUAAAGUUAUUAGAGGAGAAACUUUACAUGACAUGGGUACAUCAUAUUAUUAGUAUUUUAGUUUAAAUUUUUACAUACUAGAACAGUCUCUUUUUCUCCGAUUUGAGAGAUAAUGGGGAAUGGGGUUAAAGUGCAUCUACAUAGAAUUAAUUAUAAUUAAAUUUAUUUUUUAAAACUAUUUUAACUAGAAGUAGUAGUAAUUCUUUUUACUAUUGUUAUUCCAAUUAUAUCAAAAUCUCGUGACUGGUGAUCAAAAUAAGUGGUUCAUUAAAUUUUUUUAGGUGACGUAUGGUAUGGAGUUGUUAUAAAUCUAUAUAAAAAGUAAAAUAUUUAAUUUUGCUUGUCGUAAACUUUUAAUUUGCAUGGGUUAAAAAAGAAAAAAAGAAAUUGACUUAUUAAUUAAUUAACAAUUAUAGAAAGAAUAAAUAGAAAAUUAUAGUUGCGUGAGAAAACCCUCGUGAAAAGGGCUCCGGAUUUCCUUUCCCUGGCUUCGUGCGUUUCCUUUUGCCCUUUUCGAGCACGAAUUCGAAUCCAGUACUUUAUAAUAAAGAUAUAAUAUUAAAAAAUAAGAAAAAGAAUCCCAAUUUUUACUGGUAUAUAACGCAGAGCCUGCAUUAUGAAACACUCUUUUGCUAUUGUUUUCUUUUCUUUUCUCUUUUGCUGUAAUUUUUUAUGAAACACUCUGUUUCAGUUCUGUUUCUGGUUUUGUUUCGGUUUAAUAUUAUUGGUUCCGUUUGGUUCUGUUCUGCUCUGUUCUACGUCGUAUGUAUAUAUGUAUAUAUUUUUGGCCUCGAAUUGCUUUCAUCACCGGUUUUGUUAUUCAUUUAUCGUGAAUUUUAGAUGACUUGUUCGGCCAUGUUACAUUCAGCUACCAUUUUCAUGGUGGGUUUGUAAGAUAGUCUCUGACUAACACAUGGCAUUGAUUAUGAAUGAUGGUUUUGUGAGAUACAUCAUACAGACGUUAACUCGUGUUAAUUUGUACUUACAUCAUUCAAAAGAUUACUGUUUUUCUCUCUUUUUUUUAAAAAAAAAAAAAAUUGAAAUGCCCUUUUUCGCAUUUUAUAGAUGAAAGGAAGAAACAUAAUAUCGCAGAACUAGAAUAAAGGAGCCUAUUCUGUUACCUAUUGUCCGAGGAACCUUCUGUAUAUUCGGUAGGAACUACCAUGGGAAGUCAAAUCUUACCAGAGCCAGGCGGAGUCGUUGCUGAAGGAAUAUAUAUUAGCAGAUCCAUUUGUCCCGUACACUUCAAUUGUUGGUAGCAUUUUUGCUUGCACGAUGGUAUGUUUGUCAUCGUUACUGCGUGGUGGUAUUUACUAGAAAAUAUUUUGAAUGCAUAGUUUUUAUUUAAUUAGUUAUAAAAUUUUUAUACCCUCUGUUUUCCAUAAGAAUGUGUUCCUUUUCAGGUCUAUGAUCUUGCCCAAUUGAUUAGUGUGCUGUUCACUUUAAAUCUGAUUCCAGUUUCUCCAACAUACAGCGGGUCGAGUGGAGUAACAGGUGAUUGAAAAUUUUCAUUUAGUCCAAUUGUCAUUUCUUUCUCAAUCGGUAAAGUUUAAUCAUUUUUCUUAAAUCGACAACUCAUGCAGGGCCAUAUCAACCGUCCAUGACAUUUUUAUUACAGCGAUGUCUUUGUACUUUGUGUUUUGGUCGGAUCUCAGAGUUUGUGCAUAGCACACUUGGUUCUACUGUUUGUUUGUCCCUUCAUAGACAUUUCGAUAAACUGUUAUUUUUGUUCUUUGGAAGUGAAUAUUUUCAGCAACUAGAACUCCGAAGCAUCUGGAGUGAUCCAUUUUGUCAUUCUCAAUACCUAUAAAAGAAUGUCAUAGAAAACAGUUUCCAAAGCAAGUUGCAUGUGUUUUGAAUUUGUCUUUGCAAGCCACUAAUUGCUUGGAGCGCACUGUUAGCCAGUCGUGGUUCCAUCCACUUUUUUGGAUAGACAAUUGUGCAUCCAUAUGAUCUGGACUAAACUAGUUUCUAAUAAAUAAUUGCCCAGGGUUUUAGUCUCAGUGUUACAGCCCAGUCUUUGUUGUCAAUACUCUUUCCCCUGUCGUGGAUGAGCGACAUAACAGCUUCUUAAUGUUUUGCAGUGGCUUUUGCACGGUUGUUGUUUCCUUCUGAAGCUAGAGUAGCUACGGAUAGAGCGGAUGCAGAUGCCACCAAUUUUUAUACUGGCCUUUCAGCAUCAAAAUCAAAAGGAUCAAGUGGGAACUUAAAGGAGGUUGAUUUGAAUGAAACACCCUCUAUGCAAGCCAAGAGACUCCAAUUAAGAUUGCAAGCUCUGCUUAAAACAAGUAUUCAUAUACCUUAUUAGUUUUUGUACCUUUACAAUUUGUGAUUUUUGUAUCAAAAGAGAGAGGUUAAUUUUUAGUACAUUGAUAUCUCGACAAACUGUUAGAACCUUUGCACCACUAGAGACAUUUUCUUAGAGCAUUUACUGAACCUUCUAUGAUUGCAGUGGAGACAGGUCGACGCUACUUCCCUCGUUGCUCAGAAGUGGUUGAUAAAUUUUAGGAUUGUGAUUGGGCCGAUGCUUCCCUCCUAGAAAAAGGGUACUCCUGAAGAGCAGAGACUCAAAAGGGCACGCUUCAUGGAACUUAAAGAAGACAUGAAGAAGGCAUUUUACAAGGACAUGGCUGAGAAAAAAUGGCUCAGGUUUGUAGUCAUCCUCGUCAUCGUCAUCUUCUCCGAAGGACGGAGUAAAGUGUAAGGGUAGGAAAAUGUGAUGCUUAGCUGCAUGUCUUUGUUAUUCAUUUAUUGGCAACUAAAAGAGUUUUAGUGAGUUGGCUUGUUACUUGUAGAGAGAUACUCUUAGAGCCUAUGUUAUGGCUAUGUUGUAUAAUAGCAGAGGAACUUCAAGCUUGUGUUGUUGUAUUUUCCCUGGUAUUUGGCAUGUAAUGCACUAAAUGACAAAGAAUUUUCUAAUUUUAGAGGGGAAUGUUAUGUCAGUUAAUUAUUUAUUUAUUUUGUCUGUUUAAUUCAGUUUACAUAGCUUUUUUUUUUUCUCCAAAAAAAUCUUCAUAUCUCCAUCUGCAAUUUAAGUCAUUUGUAACUUCUUUCAGGGAGGAAGGAAAAGGGAAAAAAAAGAAGCAUUUGUAAGUAUAUUUACAGUACUGAUUUUCCUACAGAAAUUGGUUAAGGUGACAUUAAUGUUCUUAGUAACAGAUGGAUAUGCAGAAUUUUCGUUGAAAUUGAAAUUAGAAAUGGAUGGAUAUGAAUGACAUAUAUUCAGAAUUUUUUAGUAGAAUGUUUAAACAAAAUUUUUUAGCUCAUUACUCUCUAGAAGGAAAAUAAAUUUUUUAUUGUAAAUAUUAAAUAUUAAAUUUAUAAUAUAAUAAAUGUGUGACUUAAGGUGCACAAUACCUAUAUAAUAAUAAUAAUUAGGACAAGAAAAAUCAAAUUUUGUAAAUUACCAAAUUUCCCUUGGAAUUUGAUAUUCUAUAUCAACGUAGGUGUUGCAUCCACUGGGUUAGUACAACUAAAAGAAACUAACUAAAGUAAAACAAAAUAUCAGAAAAAUAUGGCGAGCUUCUCAUUUUUUUUUAAGUGAAAAAAAAAGAAAACUGAAAUUAAUUAUUUUUAUACCCAAAUUCUCAUGCUCGAAGGCCGCUGGAAUUGGUCAUUGUAAUUUUGUCAUCCUCGUUAUUCACUGGCCAUCGUAGCCUUCCUCCCUUAGAAUGAGAGUCGUUUUUUGGACCACGACAUAAUAAAAAUAGUAUUGAUUAAUACUAAUAAAUUUCUUUUUGAUUAUUUUGCAGUGUAAUAGUCUAGUGCGUGCCAGUGCCCAUCAGAUCACUUGAACAUGUGGUAAAAUUCUGCGAGUCUUUGUAAAAUAAUUUUUAAAUUGUGUAUUAACCAAAUAGCUCAAUGAAGACUAUCGACUCAUUAUUUUAUUUUGUAUAUAUUUAUGAUAAUUGUUGAAAAGAAAAUUGUAAAGUGAGAUUAAUGAACAUUUAUGAAUGUGGAAAUUAACACAACCAGAAUUUAUGAUGAAAUAAUUUUAAGUCAAACGAAUGUAAGUUUGUAUAUAUAUUUUUUGAAUUGUCAUAUAUAUACAAGUUUGUCACUAACAGUAAAUUAAAUUAUGAAUAUUUUAAUAAUUCAAAAUCUCAUUUAACCAUCAGCGUUUAUAGGGUGCGUUUGGCACAUUGUAUUGUAUUAUAUUGUAUUAUAUUAUUUUAAUGCAUGUGUAUUAUAUUAUAUUGUAUUACAUUAACAUUGUAUUAUAAUAAUACUAUACAAUGUUUGGUACUACAUUGUAUUAAUUUUUAAUAAAUAUAUAAUAUUACACUGUAUUAUAUUAAUUUUUUAAUAAGUACUUUAAAUUAUAUAUUUAGAAAAUAACAUUUAUUAGUCGUUAAAAAAUACUAAAUAUAAAAUUCUUAAAUUUUAGAAAUUUAAUAUUAUCUUUCUGGUAUAAACGUUGAAAAAAAAAAUCAUAAUUCUUCGUAAAAAUCGAAAUAAAUAAUUCAAUCAAAUAACCUUCAAAUAAUAUUAUAACAUAAAUAAAUAAUUAAAAUGUACAAGAUUAAGUUAAAAAUCAUUUUAAGAUAAUAAAAUAAAAAUUUAUACAUAGUAUAAAAUAAUAUAGUAACUGUAGUAUAAUAACUAACAAAAUAGACUGUACUAAAUAAUUUAAGUAAUACAACAAUAUUUACAAGUACCGUUUUUGCUAUCUUUCUCUUUUAAAGGCCCCUUUUUUGUUUUAUUCUUAGAACUUCAUAGUUCUUUUGUUUUUUCUUUUUCUUUUUCUUUUUCUUUGCCCCUUUUUUGUUUUCUUCAUAUUUCUUUUGGCUUCAUAAGUUUCUUUUAACUGAGUUAAUAGUGUUGUUAGGUUAAACUAAGUUUGGCUUCAUAAACUUAAAUCUCGUUAAGUUUUCCUUCGAAUAGCUCUCUCUCUUUUAGAGAGGCUUGAAUGGAAAAAUAUUAAGGGGUCGUAAGGACUCAGGUGGUCACUCCUAGUGAGUGGAAAGUAAUCUAAACCAGCAAGCUGUUGGGAUUGAUGUGCUGGUGGAGAAAGUUUCGAAGAGCCAAAGGUAGUGUAAAGCGUUGGGGUACGAGUCAAAGCAAGCAAGUUGAAAGAACUCACUAUCGGCUCUAGCGUUAUUUGCCAUGGACACUGAAGAGCUAAUUCGCAAGUGUCAAGCAAUAAAUAUUAGAGAGGAAGACAAAGCCAAAAUAACACUGGAGGUGAAUCUGGAAAAAAAGAAAGAACUAAUGAUGGCAGGCUGCUUAGUGGGUAAAGUAAUGCUCGCGAAGGGAGUAAAUAAAGAGGGUCUCAAGGCUGCGUUACAGCAGGUGUGGAGGACUUUCAAAGAAGUCAAAAUCGAAAGCGUGGGAAACAACAUCUUCAUGUUUAAAUUUGCUGAGGAAGCAGACAAGAAAAGAGUGUUAAAAUGGGGACCAUGGCACUUCGACAGGGCAUUGAUUGUACUCGCUGAGCCAAGGGGGAUUGGGGAAGUCGCAAAACAAUCCUUUACUCAUACAUCCUUUUGGGUGCAGAUUCGUAAUGUUCCACUAGCGUGUAUGGAUAAAGAUUUUCUCCGGGAGCUGGGUGAGAAGCUAGGAUCAGUUGAAGAGGUCCAAACUGAUGAUAAUGGAGAUUGUAUUGGGGAAUAUGCCAGAAUAAGAGUUUCAAUUAAUAUAACACUGCCGCUAGAGAGGAUUCUAUUUCUAAAGCGAGAAGGUGAAACUGAUAUCCCAAUGCCAGUGGUCUAUGAACGUUUGCCGGAUUUUUGUUAUUGCUGCGGCAUCAUAGGACAUCAAUACAAAGAGUGUGGCAAAUACCAAGACCAACCAAGAGAAGAUUUACCAUAUGGGAGCUGGAUGAAAGCGAUUACGGUAGGGGGCUUCACAAAGAGGAAUCAGAACCAGGGAAGGUGGAACUAUGGGGCUGGAAAAUCGGAUGAAAAAUCAGCAAGCUCAGAAAAUCACAGCUUCCAGCAACAGCAAGGGCAAAACAAAGAAAACCCGAUAGAGGCAAACGGGUCGGUACAAAAUGAGAAGGAAAUGGGGCAAACCAUGGAGCAUGCUAAGAAUGAUGUGAUAGGAGGAGUAGCUGAGCAACAAUUAAUGCAAGGAGUGUCACAGUCAGCGGACAAAAAACAAACUGACGGCCACAAGCAAGCUAAGAAAAGUGGCAAUGCAACAGUCCCAAGGAAAAUGGGCACACAAGCGGGAAAUGGUAUCCUAAACGAGGGGGAAAAAAUGCAAAUAAGUCAUGAAAAGGAAGCUGGAAAAAAUGAUGGGCCGGAAGUCUCUCAGCUACAGCCCAAUAAGAGAAAGUGGAAGAGAUUACUUAGAGAGCUAAGUGAAGGGGGGGAAGAAAUGGAGGUACAAACUCGGAAAAGGCCAAGGGGGAAAAAACUCGGGCAAAGCCCAAGGAAAAAAACAAAACUCUCCAACUCAAACCAGCUCGAGACAAAAAAUCUGAUGCAUGUUUCUUCAACAGCAAGUCUUCAGCUGGGGUGGGAACCGCUGAUGCUGGAAGAGGUGGUAGUUAUGGAAGCAAACAACAUGGAGAUAUCGGCGGAGGCUGGUGGCCAGCCCCGCCGAAAACCAUGAAUAUCCUCAGCUGGAAUGUUCGGGGUUUGGGGAAUCCCCGAGCAUUUCAAGCCUUAAGAAAAAUCCUCCAGUUGCAUGGUGCUCAGCUGGUGUUCUUGUGUGAAACAAAGGUAUCAACCAUGCAAAUGAAUGUAAUUGCAAGUAAGCUGAGCUUCGAGAAUUGCCUUGCGGUAAACGGUAAUGGAAGAGGAGGCGGAAUAGCAAUGCUCUGGAAGUCAGAUAUUGAGGUGCAAAUCAAAUCAUACAGCCAGCACCACAUUGAUGCCGAAACUCAAAUGCCAAAUGGGAAUCAAAUGCGAAUUACAGGAGUGUAUGGGCAUCCGGAAAUAAGCCAGAAAAAGCACACUUGGACGCUCCUCAGACGGCUGGCGGUUUUAUCUUCUAGUCCUUGGUUGUGUUGUGGAGAUUUUAACGAAAUUUUACAUCCAAAUGAGAAGAGGGGCGGCAAUGAUAGAAAUGUGAAUUUAAUUAAUGAGUUUAGAGAAGUCUUGAGAGAUUGUGGCUUAAAGGAUGUCGGGUUUCGGGGGUAUGCUUUUACUUGGAAUAAUGGAAGAUAUGGGGAGGGUUUUGUGGAAGAAAGGUUGGACAGAUUUGUUUGCUCUAAAGCUUGGAGUGAUAGAUUUGUGGACUGUGCAGCAAGUAAUCUGGACUCCUGGACUUCGGAUCAUUGUCCCGUGCUGAUGGUUGUUCAAGAGAGAAGGGAGGGUAUGAUCCAAAGGGGUAGACAUUCCUCGCGAAUCCAUUAUGAGGAUAUGUGGAGUUCGUAUGACGGAUGCAAAGAGAUAAUUAAGGAGGAAUGGGGGCUGUAUAGAAACUGGAGCAGUGAAAAUUCAGCCCAAUCCUUUCGACAAGCAACAAAAACUUCGAUGGGUAGGCUGCUGGGGUGGAGCAAGAGGGAAUUUAGAAAGCGUGACAGAAAAUUAGAGAAGCUGAAGGUUCAGCUGAGGGAGUUAAAACAAAGAAGGGUGCAAUUUGUAGAUGGUGAGGAAAUUCGGAAGGUGGAGAAGCAAAUUCAAAAUAUUCUUAUGGAUGAAGAAAUCUACUGGAAGCAACGUUCAAGAGCAGAUUGGCUCAAGGAGGGGGACAAAAACACAAAAUUUUUUCACGGCAAAGCGACGGCAAGAAGGAAAAAAAACAGAAUUUGGGGGAUUGAAGAUAAUUUUGGGAAAUGGAUUGAGGAGCCAAUCAAAGUAGAGCAUGAGUUUUGCAACUAUUUCACCAAGCUUUUUACAUCAACCCAGCCGAGACAAGAUCAAAUUGCAGCAGCUUUGGAAGGAAUAACUCCAAGAGUUUCAGCCAGUAUGAAUGAGAGUCUGGGGGCACCUUUUACAGCCGAGGAAGUGUUGGAAGCGCUGAGCCAAAUGUGCCCAACAAAGGCUCCGGGGCCGGAUGGUUUGCCAGCCGUGUUUUACCAAAAGCAUUGGCAUUCGGUCAAGGAGGGAGUGCUCACCACUUGUCUGCAUAUCCUUAAUUCACAAGGUACCAUCGGCCCUCUAAACCACACUUACAUUGCUUUGAUACCAAAAAUCGGAAAGCCUAGGAAAGUGACAGAUUUUAGGCCUAUUAGUUUGUGCAAUGUCAGCUAUAGAAUUGUUGCUAAAACAGUUGCUAAUAGAUUUAAGCAAGUUUUGCACAAAAUCAUCUCUCCAUCGCAAAGUGCAUUCAUUCCCAAUAGGCUGAUCACUGACAAUAUAAUAGUUGGCUAUGAAUGUUUGCACAAAAUUAGGCAUUGUAAAAGCAAGCGAAAUGGAUUAAUUGCCUUAAAGCUUGAUGUUAGUAAAGCUUAUGAUAGAUUGGAAUGGAAUUUCUUAGAGCAAACUUUAGAAAAAUUAGGCUUCUCGCAGCAAUGGAUUAGCUUGAUUAUGAGGUGCAUUAGUUCGGUUUCAUUUUCAGUGUUAAUAAAUGGUGCAGUGAAAGGCUUAAUUAAACCUCAAAGGGGCUUACGUCAAGGAUGCCCCCUCUCCCCAUAUUUGUUUAUUACAUGUGCAGAGGCCUUUUCAUCUUUGCUGCAGCAAGCUGAGCAACAACAACUCAUUCAUGGGUUAUCUUUUGGAAGCAAUCUGAAGAUUUCGCACCUCCUUUUUGCCGAUGACAGCCUGGUCUUCAGCAGAGCCUCCAUGGCCGACUGUCACAACUUGAAGAUGAUCCUUGAGUGUUACUCCACAGCUUCGGGCCAAAUUUUUAACUUCGAGAAAUCUUCCCUUUUUAUCAGUGGCAAUGUACAGCAAGAUCAAACUGAGGCUCUUGGGAAUCUAUUUCAGCUCAAUAUUGUGUCGAGACAUGAGAAAUAUCUAGGCUUGCCAUCGAUGAUUGGGAGAAAGAGAAGCAGUUUUUUCAAUGACAUCAAGCUGAAGGUUGCUAAUAAGAUCUCAAGCUGGCAGCAUAAAUUCUUUUCUUGCGGAGGGAAAGAAGUCUUAAUCAAAGCGGCUGUUCAAGCUAUCCCAGCCUACGCAAUGAGCGUCUUUAAAAUUCCAGGGGGUGUUUGUGAUGAUAUUCAAAAGAUGGUGGCAAAGUUUUGGUGGGGCUCCAAGAGGGAAGGGCGGAGUAUUCACUGGGCGCAGUGGGAAAAACUGAGCCAAGCCAAGUGUUUGGGAGGGAUGGGAUUUCGUGACUUCUCAAGUUUUAACCGAGCUCUUCUAGCAAAGCAAGGCUGGAGGAUUCAGCAAUGUCCAGAUUCGCUGGUGGCAAGGGUCCUGCAAGCUAGAUAUUUCCAGUCAACCAAUUUCUUGGCUGCUAAACUCGGCUCAAACCCCUCAUAUAUUUGGAGAAGUCUUCUGUGGGGGAGGAAAAUUAUUUGCGCGGGCUCUAGGUGGAGAGUUGGUAAUGGUCAGAAAAUUCAUGUUCAUAAGGCUAAUUGGAUCCCACGGGCUUCAACUUUCCAGCCAAUAGUUAAGCCAUCUCUGCCCCCUGAUGCUAUGGUCUCGGAAUUAAUCACUGAGGCAAACUGUUGGGAUGAAAAGAGGAUUUAUGAGCAUUUUGACCAUAUGGAUGCUGAUUUAAUUGCUAAGAUUCCCCUGCCUCGAAGUCCAAGGGAGGAUGAGCUGAUUUGGCAUUAUGGAAAAAAUGGCCAAUUCUCGGUUAGAAGUGGAUACCAGACAGCUCUCCAAAUGAAAUUUCCAGCCAUGGCUUCAAGCUCAGUGGUUUCCAAAAAUGAGUGGAAUAUUAUUUGGUCCCUUGCUUUGCCUCAAAAGAUCAGAAUCUUUGCUUGGAGAGCAGCCAAAAACCAACUCCCAUCAGCUGAGAAUCUGUGGAGGAAAAAAAUAAUCCAGAAUCCCAUGUGCCAAGUCUGUAAAAUAGGAACAAAAAAUGUCUUUCAUGCUCUAGUAGCCUGCAAAUCGGCUGAGAAGGUGUGGAAGCUAAUCCAUUUUGAUGAUGACAUUCGUGCAGCUCACAGUCAAGACAUUCUAAGCAUACUGCAUGCUAUGAAAAGGAUGAGAAACAGAGACGACCUGGAGCUGUUGGUAACAAUUUUCUGGGUUAAAUGGAAUGCUAGAAAUCAGAUGAUCUUCAAAGGGAAAAGGGAAACCCCCCAGAUCAUGGUAGCUAAAGCUGAAGCCUUGAUUGCUGCUUAUAAGAGGGUGCAUUCUCCAGAUGAGGCCUGCAGUGAAACAGAGCAGAAAGCACCUCCCCAGAAAUGGAACCCCCCUCAAGCUGGUUUUGUAAAAGUAAACACUGAUGCAGCCAUUUGCUUUGAAAAGAACAUUGUAGGGCUGGGGGUAGUAAUAAAAAAUGUUUUGGGGCAUGUUACAGCAGUUGCUAUCAAGGUUGCUAAGUUUCAUGGAGAUGUUUCUUAUGCGGAAGCAGAAGCCAUGGAAUGGGGUAUGUUAGUGGCGAGAGAGGCCAACAUGAAAGCUGUCAUCAUGGAAUCAGAUUCUCAAGGUGUGGUCAAUUUAGUUAACAACAAGCAGGGCAGCAGAUCAGAGAUCUAUUGGGUUGUGUCAGAAAUUCAGAAUCUAGCGGAAAGUUUCGAUCGUGUUAGCUUUAAAUACACGCCUAGAUCUUGUAAUGUUAUUGCCCACUCUUUAGCUAAACUAGCUUUAGAGAAGUGCGAGAAUGUUGUGUGGAAAGGGUCAUACCCUUCACAAGUGAUGUAUCUCUUUUCUUCUUUAGUUUAAUGGAAAUCUCUUUUCAAAAAAAAAAAAAAAAAAGUUUGGCUUCAUAAGCUUCAUAGUAGAGUGUAGAAUUAGGUACAAUUUUGGAUUAGACAAGUCAAAGGUCUUAUCAAGUAAUUGUUCUGCUUACUGAUUUGGUAAUUGCAACAUUGCUAAAUUGUUCAAUUUGUCCUUUUUAUUUUGUUGAAUUUAUUGUAUGUCAUAUUACUUGAUUUAAUUAUUUUCUCAGAUCUUGUAGGUGAAAAUUUCAGCUUCAAAGACCAAAGCUAAUCAAUCAUCCAGCAAUUCAGUGAAGAAACCAAGACACAGUGGCUCAUAAAUUGUUGUUGGUGAUUGAUCCCAGCCAUUCGGGUGCUCGCCAGUCCUAGAUUAGAAAACUUUCAACGCGGCGCAUAAAUUGCUGUUGAUCUGCUUUAUAUAUUUUGACGUUUGUGAUUUGUGAAUACAUGGUCUGAUUCCAGUGUUUACAACUUUGAAAUUCAAUUAAAAGUUGAGCUGUGAAAGAGUGUGUUGUAUAACUUGAGAAGCAAAUGAAACAAACAGAAAAUGUGUUUUUAUUUUUUUAAUCUAUCUAUGUAACAAUUUAUAGCUGGCAAAGUAAUAGAGUUGUAUACUUGUAUUUAAUUAUUUAUUAUUAUUAUUAUUAUUAUUUUUUUGUAUCCAUGGUGUUUUGUCAUUUCGAAAGUACUUGACCCUUUCACGCUAAGGCACACUCCAGCAGCCGAAACUUUGAGCUUUCAGUUCUUGAUUUUAGCGUGAGGGGUAUCUUUGUCUUUUCAGUAGUCAACACACGGUCAACAAAACAGUCUACAAACAAUCGACCUGUGAACUUGGGUCAAAGCUUUCAUCUUUAAAUCACAUAGGUAGAUCAUGAUUCAAGCUUCAGUUAUAAGCCUUUCAUUGUGAUUGAUAGUAUUCUUUCUUUGAUAUAUAUAUAUAUAUAUAUAUAUAUAGAUUCAUGGUUCUUGAUGGUAUCAUGGAAAAUGCGAACGAAAAGUCAGCAUCUUUGAGUUUUGACUCAUCUUAUCAAACUUGUUGGUCCACUAAUCAAUCAACAGGCACUUGUGAUCUUGAUUAUUUCAACUUAAGGAUGCAAAGCAGCAAUGCCAAAGAGACAUGGCAUGACGCUGAGAUUGUUGUUGAGGGCAAAUCAGUGGCGGUUAAUCGCAGCAUAUUGUCUGAGCGCAGUCAAUUUUUUCGUCGGCUUUUUAAUUUGAGAAAUGAUGGUUCUGUCAGUGAGGAGAAACCCAAGUAUCUUAUGACUGAUUUGGUGCCUCAUGGGAAGGUUGGAUAUGAAGCUUUCAAUGAUAUCCUGCUUUAUAUUUACACUGGGAAGACAAAGGCAUCUCCUCCAGAAGCGUCCACGUGUGUUGAUGACGCUUGUACUCAUGGUGCUUGCCCUCCUGCUAUUAAUUAUGUUAUUGAGUUGAUGUAUGCUUCUGCUGCUUUUCAGAUGACACAUCUCGUUUCGGUUUAUGAGGUAGUUGCGCUUCCCCGCUAUUUGCAUUGCUUAAAUUUAUGCUUGUUGGUAUAGUUUUAACAUAUAUGGAAUUGAAAUCAAUUUCGGUUGUGAAGCAACUUCGGUGGUUCCCAAUAUUAGGCAUUGUAGUAGAUCCAAAAUUAGCUUGUUGAGAAGUGUAGAUACUGUAGAGCCCAAAACUUCGUCUUAUCUUGCAAGAGUCUGUUGUUUUAUUUUGAAAGAGACAAAAGUGAUGAUGAUGGGCAGCGAACUCUAGGAAUCAAUGCUUGCUGACACUGACCCCCAAGAAUCAAUGAGUCUGAAUUUGAUAAGUGCACCUAUCCUAUCACAAAAGCUUUUGCGUUGAGUUUCUAACCAAUUUUCAUUUGUGUAGGUGUCAGUUCAUGCUCUGGCUUGACUGUUCUGUUAUUUAGGUUGUUUUAUCCGUAUUUUCUUCACUCACUUGAUGGUUAGUUCUCUCAUGCUUUCAAGCUCUCAACAGUGAAUGCGGGAGAUUCUAUUUUUCCCGUCCAGUCUAUAACCUAGCAAAUCAUUAAUGCUGUAGAAUAACAUCUUGUGUAGCCGAGUUUAUGUCUCUGAACAUUGGUCCAUCGGCAUUUAGGAUCAAUAUUAUUUUUCCCCCUCAUUAUUAUUUUCCUCCACAGAUUAUCCCCUUUGAGUAUUUGAAUUUUGAAUAUAUUAUUCUGAAUCAAAACUCUAUCUGUCCGUGUAGCAUUUUUUAUAUGCUUUACGAUGUUUACCAAUAAUUACCCACUAUGGGGUAUUUGAAUUUUGAAUAUAUUAUUCUGAAUCAAAACUCUAUCUGUCCGUGCAGCAUUGGCUUCUGAACUUGGCUGAGGAUGCGCGUGUGGAAGAUGUAAUCCCAAUUCUCGUGGCUGCCUUCCAUUGCCAACAGAACAUGCUCUGUUCUUACUGCAUCCAGAGAAUUGCAGGAUCAAAUCUUGACAAUGUUUGUCUCGAGAAAGAGCUUCCUGAUGAAGUUUCAAGAGAAAUCAAAUCACUCCGUGUCAAAUCUAACCAGGAGUCUGAAGCUAAUAUAGCAGAAGUGGAUCCUAUGCAUGCAAAAAUAGUCAGAAGAAUCCAUAAGGCGCUGGACUCUGAUGACUUUGAACUGUUGAAGCUUCUUCUGGAUGUAUCUAAUGUCACUCUGGAUGAUGCUUAUGCUCUGCACUAUGCUGCUGCCUACUGCAACCCUAAGGUUUUUAAGGAAGUGCUCAAUAUGGACUUGGCUGGUCUCAAUCUUAAGAAUGCAAGAGGUCGUACGGUGCUUCAUGUGGCUGCAAGGCGUAAUGAGCCAGAAGUGAUGGUGACUCUGCUGAGCAAGGGAGCAUGCGCAUCAGAAACUACAUCAGAUGGGCAAACAGCUGUAGCAAUCUGUCGGAGAAUGACAAGGCGAAAGGAUUAUAUUGAAGCUUCAAAGCAGGGGCAGGAAACUAACAAAGACCGGUUAUGCAUUGACGUCCUUGAGAGAGAGAUGAGAAGGAACUCCAUGUCUGAGAACUUGGCAAUGUCAUCAGAGGUGAUGUAUGAUCAUUUCCAAGCGGAGCUGGACUAUCUAGAAAAUACAGGUGAUAUUUCUUUACUGGUAUUAGUUCAUCACCUUCUCAGAGUUUGUGCAUAGCACACUUCUUUCUACUGUUUGUUUGUCCCUUCAUAUGGAAAAUAGAGGUGAUAUUCCUUUACUGGUAUUAGUAAAUCAUCUUCUCAAGAGUUUGUGAGUCCCUUCAUUUUAGCAUCUCAAACACACAUGGGCUCAUUGCUUGGGGCACACUGUUGGCCAGUCAUGUGAUUUGAUCCCCUUUUUUGGAAUAGAGAAUUAUGAAUCCAUCUGAUCUAGGCUUGGUGGUUUGCACCGAAGUGGUUUUUGAUAAAUAAUUGUACAAGACUUUGUCAUCAAAAACUUUUUUUUUUGUUUUCCAAAAGUAAUGAGGUACAAAAAUAUUUAUGCCUAUCCUGGAUGAGUGCCAUAACAGCUUCUUAAUAUUUUGCAGUGGCUUUUGUACGGUUGUUUCCUUCUGAAGCUAGAGUAGCUAUGGAAAUAGCUGGUGCAGAUACCGCCACUGGCCUUUCAGCAUUAGGUCAGAAAGGACUAAGUGGGAACUUAAAGGAGAUUGAUUUGAAUGAAACGCCCUCUAUGCAAGCCAAGAGACGCCAAUUGAGACUGCUAACUCUGCUUAAAACAGGUAUUUAUAUACUUUAUUAACUUUUGCACCUUUCUAUUUACUGAUUAUCUUUAUAAUUAACUAAUACAUGUAUCCAGGUUUCUCCUUCCAUUUCAUUAGAAGUAAAUUGGAAUCUCUUUAUAGUGCUCUGUUAGGUGUAAUCAGAUGUAUCAAAAGAGAAAGAGUAAUUGUUAGUACAUUGAUAUCUCAACAAAAUGGUGGAACCUUUCUUUAUACCACUAAAGACAUUUGUUGCAGGAUGCCUACAGAAUCAGUGUGCUUUAAAACUUUCAAGGAGUUCGCAAUGCCUAACCCUUGAAACACUAAAUCUCACGGGAUCAACUCUUUACCUCUAGACCGAAGGUGUGACACCCAGACCCAAUUAGUGCUUAGAACACAUAUCGAAUCUGAGUGAAACUAAAUGCCUGUAAAUCCAAAUCUCCAAAAUAUCAAAAAGUCAUCUACUUUCUCUUUUCAUGUAUUUCACAAAAUUUUGAAAAAUUCAUUUUCAAUCAUAAACUAUGCACAGCUAAAUAUUCAGCAUAUCAGUAUAGAGCAAUACUUCCUCAUAAGCAAAUAAAUCUUACAAUCCUUCUUACAUGAUUUUAAAAAAAUACUAAUAGAAGUCUUCUAGAUACAAACAUAAACAGAAUUCAACUGUUUAAAACUAUGCCAAAACACAAGCUUCAAUCAGUAAUACAUACGACUAAUUAUUAAAAACAUCUAGGCAGAAACCUUACGAAAGCUCAAUCCUUCCGAAGCAUUCUUCAAAUUAAUAAUUGCUACCAUCUGUGAAAAAUAAUUGACAAGGAGUCAGCUGUGAAUUCAAUCAAUAGAAACAUUUGUAACGAACAAAAAUAAUUCUUUGCGCAAUAUUUUCAGAAAAUUCAUUUAACCUUUCAAAUGAAACAGAGUAAUUUUUCUAACGCAGUCAGGAUUUAUAUAAAACACAAACGUUUCAAACAGAAGCUGUGUGGAAUGUAAAUUUUGCUUCUUUAAACAGAAAGUUAUAUAUUAGUUUGAUUUUAAAGGGAGGUUAUUGGGAAGUUAAAAUUGGCAGUUGUGGGAAAAGGGUAAUAGCAGUUAUAAAAUCUCUUUUAAAGCAAAUUCAAAUCAAGUUUCAAAUUUUAGGAGUACUUAAUUCAAUAAAAUAAGGAAUAAAUAAAGCUUUCAUUGAAACAAAACUAAGUAAAUUCAUUUAAAGCAAAAAAGGAUGGGAGCAUUACUAUGGGUUCUUAUGUUUACCCGCAGUCAGGCAUCUGGGACCUUGUUAUUUGGAGACAAGACUUGAUUGUGCCAUGUUUUCCACAGCCAGAUAUAUUUUACUUCAUUAGUUCCUAGACAUCUGUGGAUAAGAGAACCCUAAGCAUAUUGAGAAUAAAUUCCGUAAUCCAAGACUCUUCAGUUCUUUCAUUUGUGGCUAAUUAGUUAUAAAAUUUGUGAAUUUCAUGCCCCAUGCUCCUUGCAAAAUGUAUUUUAUAUCCUUAAGAUGCCAGUGGAUGAACUGAAAUAAUAAAAAAUGGAAGACAGAUUUAAUGCCGACAACAUUUCUUAAGAAAAACUUGGGAUGUUUAUAAUUUUCUUAGAGCAUUUGCUGAACUUUCUGUGAUCGCAGUCGAGACGGGUCAACGCUACUUCCCUCAUUGCUCAGAAGUGGUUGAUCACUUUAUGGAUUGGCCCUAUGCUUCCACCCCAAAAAUGGACGACGAGAAACUUAAAGUAGACGUGCAGGAGGCAUUCUGCAAGGACGUGGCUUAUCACCGUCGUAUAGGGCUGCCAUCAUCCUGGCCGGCAUUUUACCAGUACAUGGCUGAGGGCAAUCAGUCGGCAUUUUACAAGUACGUGGCUGAGAGCAAUCGUUCAGGAAUGGCGACAUCCUCGGCAGCGAGCAAUUAAGCAUCACCUUUCCCUAAAAGUUAUAUUUGACACCUGGAAAACUAAAGGAGUUGAGUGAGCUCUGCUCGAUUGGUAUUUGUAGUUUCUUUUUUUUUUCCUCAAGUGAUCUGGCAUGUAUCAAUUAGUUUGUAAAGUUAAUUGUAUUGUCUCAAGUCCGGUGAGAUGCGCGAACGUAUAGCAUGGAUCACAAACUAAUUGUAUUGUCUCAAGUGAUCACAAAAAGAAUUGUAUUACAAUUGGUAUGAGGCAUGCAUGUGUGUGUCAUAUCAGUUGCUGAACAAACUUUGCCUUUUAGUUUUGUAGGCACUACCAUCUCAAAUUCUCUGUUAUCAUGAAUGAGUAUUUUUUUUUUCUUUUUUUUCUUUUUAACAAAUCAUAAAUGAGAUUAAGAUAAUCUUUUUUUUAAAAAAAAAAAAAAUAGAGAUUUCUUUUAUUUUUCCUUAAAAAACUGAAGAAAAAUUUAGAAGGUAGUGAGAGACGGAGAAUUAAAGAAAUUUUAUUCACAAAUGUAAUGUGUUUGGUGCAGCAAUACAAACUAAUAAAUUAUAAUUUAUGAGACUAGUUUGCAAAAUCUUAUAUAUAAAAUUAUAUCAUCUGAAUAAAAAUCUUCUCACCUCUUUUGACUUCUCAUUUAGAUGUCCUCUCUAGAAUCUCUCUGGCCAUAAACACAUUUUUACAAAACAAAACAGAAGAAAUUAUAUAUAAUUCUCACAAAGACUAUUUCAUUUGCACAUAGUACGCAAUUGGUCACUAAAGUUAUUUGAGGAGAAAAUUUACAUGAGAUGGGUACAUCCUAUUAUCAGUAUUGUAAUUUAAAUUUGAACAUACUAGAAUGGUCUCUCAUAAAUUUUUCUCCAAUUUGAGAGAUGGUGGGGAAGUGGGGUUAAAGUGCAUCUGCAUAGAAUUAAUUAUAAUUAUAUUUAUUUUUUAAAACUAUUUUAACUAGAAGUAGUAGUAAUUCUUUUUAUUAUUGUUAUUCCAAUUAUAUCAAAAUCUCGUGACUCGUGAUCAAAUUAAGUAGUUCAUUAAAUUUUUUUAGGUGACGUACGGUAUGGAGUUUUUAUAAAUCUAUAUAAAUAGUAAAAUAUUUAAUUUUGUUUGUCGUAAACUUUUAAUUUGCAUGGGUUAAAAAAGAAAAAAAGAAAUUGACUUAUUAAUUAAUUAACAAUUAUAGAAAGAAUAAAAAGCAAAUUAGAGUUGCGUGAGAAAACUCUCGUGAAAAGGGUUCCAGAUUUCCUUUCCCUGGCUUCGUGCGUUUCCUGUUUGCCCUUUCGAGCACAAUUCGAAUCCAAUACUUAAUAAUAAAGAUAUAAUAUUAAAAAAUACGAAAAAGAAUCCAAAUUUUUACUGGUAUAUAAGGCAGAGCCAGUUAGAAUUCACAAACCUUAAGCAUACAAUCUGUUUGGCUAGCAGGAAAGUGACGAAGGAAGAAAGAAAAAUAAACUGAAUAAGAGAAUUUUAUUAAUCUCGAAUCACACCCUUACAUUCAAGCUUUCAUCAACUUAUAUUGCUGAUUAACAGAAGUAACAACCUCUGUAACAGCUGUCAAAUAACUAUUGGUUAAGCUAAGCUAAACAAUAACAAUCUAACUAAUUUGUCCAGCUCAGCUAUCCAGCUCAUCAAUCCUAGUCAAGUGAAUCUCAGCCAUUGAUCUGCUGCUGUUGAUUAAGCAUCUCAACACCCCUUCUCAAGCUUAAUGGUCGUGGAACAACAUUAAGCUUGUCUCUAUAGUAAUUAAAAAAAGAGUAAGCCAUAGGCUUUGUAAGCACAUCUGCAAUAUUCCACUCACUUGGUACAUACUUGAUCUCCACUUGUUUGCCCGUUACCUUUUCCCUUAUGAAAUGCACAUCCAACUCUAUGUGCUUGGUUUUGGCAUGAUAUACUGGAUUUGUUGCUAGUGCAGCUGCACCAUUGUUGUCACACCAGAUUAUUGGUAUUUGGCUACACUUCAGUUUAAGCUCUCCAAGUAAAGCUUGAAUCCAAACAAUUUCUGCACAAGCUGUUGACAAUGCUCUAUACUCUGACUCUGUGCUAGACCUUGCUACAGUUUGUUGCUUCUUGGAGGACCAUGAAACCAGAUUCUGCCCAAGAUAUACACAAUAUGCUCCAACUGACUUUCUGUCAUCCACAUCACACGCCCAAUCUGCAUCUGUAUAUGCUGUCAGACUAAUUCCAUCUCCUGCUUUAAACAUCAAUCCAUAAUCUUCAGUUGCCUUUAAGUAUCUUAGAAUUUUCUUACAAGCAACCCAGUGUUUCUCAGUUGGUGCAGCAAGAAAUUGGCUCAACUUAUUAACUGAAAAGGCAAGUUCUGGUCUUGUAAGUACCAAAUACUGUAAAGCACCUAUUAUGCUUUUAUACUCAGUGACAUUAACAAUCAAGUUAUCAUCAUUCCCUGCUCUUCUUAGUUUCUGUCCUGUACUCAUUGGAGUAUCACUUUCUCUGCAAUUUUCCAUAUCAGUUCUUGUAAGCAAAUCUCUUACAUAUUUUGCCUGUGAAAGAUGUAAGCUACCCUUUGCAUCAUGUGUAACCUCAAUACCAAGGAAGUAACUGAACUCACCAAGAUCUUUUAAAGCAAAGGUAUCUCCAAGGUAUUGGAUAAAUGUUUCAAUUACUGUAUUGUUAUCACCAGUAAUUAAUAUAUCAUCUACAUAUACUAACACAGCCACAAUACCUCCAAGUUCAUGUUUGAUGAACAAAGAUGAGUCUGCUUUGGAGUUCUGAAACCCCCACUGCAACAGUGCUUUCCUUAGCCUGUCAAACCAGGCUCUGGGAGCCUGUUUCAAACCGUAAAGAGCCUUAUGCAACUGACAAACAUGACCAGAUGGAGACUGAACAAAACCCUCAGGUUGAAACAUGUAGACAUCUUCAUUGAGCUCUCCAUUAAGGAAAGCAUUGUUGAUGUCGAUUUGUCUUAUUUUCCAGCCCUUCAUCACAGCAAGACUAAGGAUAAUUCUCACAGUUGACUGUUUAACUACUGGACUAAAGGUCUCAAAGUAGUCAAUACCAGCUGUUUGAUGAAACCCUUUUGCCACCAGCCGUGCUUUAUACUUAGAAACAGAACCAUCUGCAUUAUACUUAAUGCGAAAAACCCAUUUACACCCAACAAUUUUAGUAGCUUGAGAAGGUGGUACAAGAAUCCAAGUCUUAUUUUCCAUAAGUGCAUUAUACUCUGCCUGCAUGGCUGCUUUCCAUUUGGAAUCUGAAAGAGCUUGAGAAACUGUGGCAGGCUCUUGUUCUCCAAGAACAGAGGAAUAGGCAUGAAAUUUUGGCUUAAAUACACCUGCUUUGGCUCUUGUAAUCAUUGGGUGAUUUGGCAGUGAAACUUGAGUAGAGGAUGGUUGUUGAUUUGAAGUAUUUUGGGAUACAUAAGGAGAGGUGUGGGAGGGUGGAUGAUUUGAUUGAGAUGGUUGAAAUGGUUGAGAAGAAGGUGAUAAAGAACUAGAUGAGGAGGAAGAAGCUGAAGCUGCAGACAACUGAAAUGGUUGUAUAAUGGUGUUACUUGAGCCUGAAGGGUCAUGAAGUGGAACUGACACUGAAGAUACCUUAAACAUAGGAUAUCUAUAUUCAGAAGCAGAGGAAGAAGGUUGUUUAGAGAAAAGAGAGUCAGUAGAGAAAGGAAAUUCUGACUCAUUAAACACAACAUGCCUAGCAACAUAUACAACACCUUUUGAGCUUAGGCAUUUAUACCCUUUGUGAUCUGAGCUAUAACCAAUAAACAAACAUUUUGUAGUGUGAUAGUUGAAUUUGUGUUUGUUAUAGAAUCUCAGGUAUGGAAAACAGGAGCAGCCAAAAAACUUUAGAAAAUCAUAGUCAGGCUUGUGUUUGAAAAGAAUCUCAUAGGGAGAUUUAUUUGAUGGUAGAACAGAAGUUGGCAAUCGAUUGAUAAGAAAAGCAGAAGUUGAGAAUGCUUCCCACCAGAAACUGAGAGGUAAUUUAGCUUGUGCAAGAAGAGUCAAACCCAUCUCAACAAGAUGUCUAUGUUUCCUCUCUACUGUCCCAUUCUGGUGAUGUGUGUGAGGACAUGGAUGUCUGAAUAAAAUGCCAUGUUUUUGAAGAUAAGGCACAAAGGAUCUGAAUUCACCCUCCCAAUCUGACUGUAGGACCUUAAUGACUGUUUCAAAUUGUUUUUCAACUUGAGUUCGAAAAAUGGCAAAAACAGAUAAAGCUUGAGACUUGGUUUUCAAAGGAUAAACCCAGGCAUAUCUACUAUAAUCAUCAAUGAAACUGAUAUAGUAUCUAUAACCAUUGAGAGAAGUAAUGGGUGCUGGACCCCAUAAGUCAGUAUGGAUGAGUUCUAGAGGUGAGGUUGUUUUGUGUUCAGUUGCUCCAAAAUGCAGUUUAUGAACUUUGCCAUAUUGGCAGGCAUCACAAAAAUCAGGAAUUUGAAUUUUAUUGCUUAACUGCAAAUGUUUACAACUGGUGAGUACUUGUUUCAAGACUUUUGAACUAGGAUGACCAAGUUGCCUAUGUAGGAUAUUUAUUGAAGCACUGGAAACUCUACUGGAAUGAGACAACAGACACUGUUGAGAGGAGUGCUGAACAACUUUAGCUUGAAUAUUUGAAAAAGAACAAGACUGCAAACCAUCUGAGCAAUGUGACACCAUAGACAUAGGAACAAAACAUGACUCUUUAUUUACAGUUGAAAAUAAAGCUUGAUGAGUUUUACUUCCAGGCUCAAGUUUCAGCUUAUACAGACCCUUCAUAGCUACACCCUCCAGCAAAACUGUCCUCUUCUUCUUGUCCUUGAGAAAGCAAGUAUUUCCACAAAAUUCAAUGAUCAAGGAAUUAUCAGAAGUAAGCUUAGAAAUGCUUAAAAGAUUUUUAGUGAUGUGUGGCACAAAUAAAAGAUUUUUGAGCAAUAAUCUAUGAUUUCCAACUGCUAAAUAAGUGCUUCCUAUAUGAGAAAUAGUAAGGCCAUGUCCAUUACCAAUUAAAAGCUUUUCAUUACCUUCAUAAGGCUCACUGAUGCUGAGAUUAUUGAGAUCAUUGGUUAGGUGGUGAGUUGCUCCACUAUCCAGGUACCAGUCAUCAUCCAUUACUGCUUCUGGUGUUGCCAUAUAAGCUGACAUAUUUCUUUGAUUGUAGCCUUGAUUAAAAACUUGAUUUUGAUGUGGAUACCUUGUGACUGGAAUGAAAUCCUUGUUGAACCUAUCCUUGCAGGUAGCAGCAGUGUGUCCUAUAAUGAAGCACACUUGGUAUCUAGGUUGAUAUGGCUGUGAAAAAUGACCAGGCACAUGACUAGGCAUUUGAGUUCUCCCACCUUGAUUCCAAGAUCUUCCUCCAUGCAUGUUAUUUCCUCUUCCACCUUUCCUUCCUCGAUAGAAAUUUCCACCUUGAUUCCCUCUAAAAUUUCCUUGCAUCAUGUAUCCAGAAUUUUCAGAUCUUGAUGCAUUUUGAUUGAAACUAGAUCUUGAGUUGUAUGUUCCAAAACCUUUCUUAUUAUUGUUCCCUUUCUUAACAAAAUUUGCAGCAAACGCCAUAUUUGCAUCCAUAGUUUCAGCUAAAGCUUGUUGUUCUAACAUUCCCUCAUGUGUCAUUAACAUAGAGAGUGAUUCUGAUAAAUCGAGAUCUAAUCCUCUUCCUGUGAUCAAAACUGCUACAGGAUUGAAUUCUGAACCAAUUCCUCCUAACACACUCAUCAUAAAGUCAUAGUCACUCAUUGGUGCUCCUGCUGCUGCCAUGUUAUCUGCUAUGCCUUUCAUUUUGUGAAAAUAGUCAUAAACACUCAAAUCGUUCUUCUUUGUCAACAUCAUUUGAUUCUUCAGUUGCAAUGCUCUGGUUUUGUUUUGUGAGCCAGAAAGUUUUUCCAGAGCUUUCCAAACUUCAAAGGAAGUUUUGUAUCCGAGAACAAUUCCGAGAACACUCUCAGUCAUGGAAGAGAGUAGCCAACCUAGCAACUGCUGAUCAGUUCGCUUCCACAUCACAAACUCAGAGUUCGGAAUCCUCUGAUCUGUGCAUGGUGCUGUGAUUGAACCAUCAAUAUAUCCUUCUAAUCCAUUUCCCUGAAUGGAUGCCAAUACUUGCAUUUUCCAGAUCAAAUAAUUUGAUCUGUCGAGCUUAAUUGGUGUAGGAAAGGUAUAGGAAACAGUUGUGGUUUGAUUUAAGCUUGAUGAUGCCAUCUGGCUCUGAUACCAAGUUAGAAUUCACAAACCUUAAGCAUACAAUCUGUUUGGCUAGCAGGAAAGUGACGAAGGAAGAAAGAAAAAUAAACUGAAUAAGAGAAUUUUAUUAAUCUCGAAUCACACCCUUACAUUCAAGCUUUCAUCAACUUAUAUUGCUGAUUAAUAGAAGUAACAACCUCUGUAACAGCUGUCAAAUAACUAUUGGUUAAGCUAAGCUAAACAAUAACAAUCUAACUAAUUUGUCCAGCUCAGCUAUCCAGCUCAUCAAUCCUGGUCAAGUGAAUCUCAGCCAUUGAUCUGCUGCUGUUGAUUAAGCAUCUCAAAAGAGCCAAAGCGAUAGCGAAACAUCAAAUUGUUUUUAUUUCAACCUUCGCGCAACUUCCGGUGACAUAAUUUUUCUCUGUUUCAGGUACAUACCCAACACUAAACUUUGCAUGUAUCAUUCUUGUACUUUUGUUAUUCUUUUCUUUUCUUUUCUUUUCUCUUUUGCUGUAAUUUUUUAUGAAGCACUCUGUUUCAGUUCUGUUUCUGGUUUUGUUUCGGUUUAAUAUUAUUGGUUCGGUUCUGUUCUGCUCUGUUCUACGUCGUAUGUAUAUAUGUAUAUAUUUUUGGCCUCGAAUUGCUUUCAUCACCGGUUUUGUUAUUCAUUUAUCGUGAAAUUUAGAUGACUUGUUCGGCCAUGUUAUAUUCAGCUACCAUCUUCAUGGUGGGUUUGUAAGAUAGUCUCUGACUAACACAUGGCAUUGAUUAUGAAUGAUGGUUUUGUGAGAUACAUCAUACAGACGUUAACUCGUGUUAAUUUGUACUUACAUCAUUCAAAAGAUUACUGUUUUUCUCUCUUUUUUUUUUAAAAAAAAAAAAAAUUGAAAUGCCCCUUUUCGCAUUUUAUAGAUGAAAGGAAGAAACAUAAUAUCGCAGAACUAGAAUAAAGGAGCCUAUUCUGGUACCUAUUGUCCGAGGAACCUUCUGUAUAUUCGGUAGGAACUACCAUGGGAAGUCAAAUCUUACCAGAGCCAGGCGGAGUCGUUGCUGAAGGAAUAUAUAUUAGCAGAUCCAUUUGUCCCGUACACUUCAAUUGUUGGUAGCAUUUUUGCUUGCACGAUGGUAUGUUUGUCAUCGUUACUGCGUGGUGGUAUAUACUAGAAAAUAUUUUGAAUGCAUAGUUUUUAUUUAAUUAGUUAUAAAUUUUAUACCCUCUGUUUUCCAUAAGAAUGUGUUCCUUUUCAGGUCUAUGAUCUUGCCCAAUUGAUUAGUGUGCUGUUCACUUUAAAUCUGAUUCCAGUUUCUCCAACAUACAGCGGGUCGAGUGGAGUUUAAUCAUUUUUCUUAAAUCGACAACUUAUGCAGGGCCAUAUCAACUGUCCAUGACAUUUUUAUUACAACAAUGUCUUUGUACUUUGUGUUUUGGUCGGAUCUCAGAGUUUGUGCAUAGCACACUUGGUUCUACUGUUUGUUUGUCCCUUCAUAGACAUUUUGAUAAACUGUUAUUUUUGUUCUUUGGAAGUGAAUAUUUUCAGCAACUAGAACUCCGAAGCAUCUGGAGUGAUCCAUUUUGUCAUUCUCAAUACCUAUAAAAGAAUGUCAUAGAAAACAGUUUCCAAAGCAAGUUGCAUGUGUUUUGAAUUUGUCUUUGCAAGCCACUAAUUGCUUGGAGCACACUGUUAACCUGUCGCGAUCCCAUCCACUUUUUUGGAUAGACAAUUGUGCAUCCAUAUGAUCUGGACUAAACUAGUUUCUAAUAAAUAAUUGCCCAAGGAUUUAGUCUCAGUGUUACAGCCCAGUCUUUGUUGUCAAUACUCUUUCCCCUGUCGUGGAUGAGCGCCAUAACAGCUUCUUAAUGUUUUGCAGUGGCUUUUGCACGGUUGUUGUUUCCUUCUGAAGCUAGAGUAGCUACGGAUAGAGCGGAUGCAGAUGCCACCAAUUUUUAUACUGGCCUUUCAGCAUCAAAAUCAAAAGGAUCAAGUGGGAACUUAAAGGAGGUUGAUUUGAAUGAAACACCCUCUAUGCAAGCCAAGAGACUCCAAUUAAGAUUGCAAGCUCUGCUUAAAACAAGUAUUCAUAUACCUUAUUAGUUUUUGUACCUUUACAAUUUGUGAUUUUUGUAUCAAAAGAGAGGUUAAUUUUUAGUGCAUUUACUGAACUUUCUAUGAUUGCAGUGGAGACAGGUCGACGCUACUUCCCUCGUUGCUCAGAAAUGGUUGAUAAAUUUUAGGAUUGUGAUUGGUCCGAUGCUUCCUUCCUAGAAAAGGGUACUCCUGAAGAGCAGAGACUCAAAAGGGCACGCUUCAUGGAACUUAAAGAAGGCGUGAAGAAGGCAUUUUACAAAGACAUGGCUGAGAAAAUAUGGCUCAGGUUUGUAGUCAUCCUCGUCGUCGUCAUCUUCUCCCAAGGAAGGAGUAAAGUGUAAGGGUAGGAAAAGGUGAUGCUUAGCUGCUUGUCUUUGUUAUUCAUUUAUAGGCAACUAAAAGAGUUUUAGUGAGUUGGAUUGUUACGUUGUACAGAGAUACUCUUAGAGCCUAUGUUAUGGCUUAUGUUGUAUAAUAGCAGAGGAACUUCAAGCUUGCGUUGUUGUAUUUUCCCUGGUAUUUGGCAUGUAAUGCACUAAAUGACAAAGAAUUUUCUAAUUUUAGAGGGAAAAGUUAUGUCAGUUAAUUAUUUAUUUAUUUUGUCUGUUUAAUUCAGUUUAUAAUAUAGCUUUUUUUUUUUCUUUCCAAAAAAAUCUUCAUUUCUUCAUCUGCAAUUUAAGUCAUUUGUAACUUCUUUCAGGGAGGAGAGAGAGAAAAAAAGAAAAAGAAAAAGAAAAAGAAAAGAGUUUAUUUUACAGUACUGAUUUUCCUACAGAAAUUGGUUAAGGUGACAUUAAUGUUCUUUGAGGUGGACGGAUAUGCAGAUUUUUCGUCGAAAUUGAAAUUAGAAAUGGAUGGAUAUGCAGAAUUUUUUAAUAGAAUUUUUAUACAAAAAUUUGUAGCUCAUUACUCUCUAAAAGGAAAAAAUAAAUUUUUGAUGGUAAAUAUUAAAUUUUAAAUUUAUAAUAUAAUAACUUUGUGAGUUAAGGUGCACAAUACCCAUAUAUUAAUAAUUAAGAAAAGAAAAAAAAAUUAAAAUUUGUAAAUUACCAAUUUUUUCUUGAAAUUUGAUAUUCUAUAUUAACGUAGGUGUUGCAUGGACUGGGUUAGUACAAUUGAAAGAAACUAACUAAAGUAAAACAAAAUAUCAUUAAAAAUAUGGCAAGCUUCUCGUAUUUUUUAAGUGAAAAAGAGAAGAAAACUAAAAUUAAUUAUUGUUAUACCCAAAUUCUAGUGCUUGAAGGCCGCUGGAAUUGACCAUUGCAGUUUUGUCAUCCUCAUUAUUCACCGGCCAUCGUGGCCUUCCUCCAUUAAAAAAAUAAAUGACCAUUUUUUUGGACCACGACAUAUUAAAAAUAGUAUUGAUUAAUACUAAUAAAUCUCUUUUUUGAUUAUUUUGCAGUGCGAUAGUCCAGUGAGGGCAGUGCCCAUCGUAGCACUUCAACAUGUGGUAAAUUUCUGCCAAUCUUUGUAAAAUAAUUUUUAAAUUAUGUAUUAACCAGAUAGCUCAAUGAAAACUAUCGUUCACUAAAUCAUUACUUUAUUUUGUAUAUAUUUAUGGUAAUUGUUGAAAAGAAAAAUGUAAAGUGAGAUUAAUGAACGUUUAUGAAUGUGGAAAUUAACACAACCAGGAUUUAUGAUAAAAUAAUUUUAAGUCAAAUGAGCAUAAAUUUGUAUAAAUAUUUUUUGAAUUGUCAUAUAUAUACAAGUUUGUCACUAAUAGUAAACUUAAUUAUGAAUAUUUUAAUAAUUCAAAAUUUUAUUUAACAAUUGGUGUUUAUAGUGUUUUUCAUAAUACAAAAUUGUAAACAGUCUCAUCCUGAAUAGUAUAAUGCCAAACCUUUUCAAAAAUUUAUUCUAUUAUAGUCGUCUUAGUCAAUUAUAUUUAUUUUCAAAUUGAAGAUAAAAAUAGUACUUCAUAUAUCAUACAUUACUUAUAGUUUUUUUUUUUCAAUCAAAUUACGACUAAAAUUGAAAAAUUUACCAAUGGCUAUAUACAAAGUCUGAUUCUCAUGAGCUUAAAAGAUGGGCUUUGAAUGAUGUAUGGUACUCAAAACUCUACUUUUAUUAAUAUGAUUGCCCUGCUUCCUUCAUGACGGGUAAUUUUUAGUUUCUUCCCCUGAAGUUUGGCGUAUCUCCAUUUUAAUAGGAAGUAUUAGCGUAUCUCCCACUUUUCUCCCCUACCGUUUGUAUACCGUUUCAUAUUGUUAAUGGACGAAGCUACAAGUCUUCUCUUUCAUCAAAUCGAUCCAUAACAAAUACGAGUCUGCUUCACCUAACCAAAACACACGCAUACUCCAUCUCUAAAUGCUUUGAAGAUAAACAAAUCAACGGUAAUCCUGCAACUUUAGCUCAGAGAAUCGGAUAAGAAAAGAACAGGUGAUGAAUCAAGGGUAAUGGCGCCGAGUGAGUGUCGCCUGCGGUCGGCGUUAGAGGCGACUGUCACUCAAUCGCGUACAAGGUUAGUCUUUGAAAAAACUCUUUGCACGUUAGAAAUCAGUGAUUGGGCAUUAUUUUGUUAUUUAAAAAUGAAAAUGGGUUUAUUAGUUUGUCGAAGAAUCUGCUCUGUUGCCGGUGUUGUUUGUUGAUUAAAAUGAAAAUGGGUUUGUUGAUGUGUUGAAGAAGUUGCUCUACUGCUGGUGUUUUUUUAUUAAUUAAAAUGAAAAUGGGUUUGUUAAUUUAUUGAAGCAGCUGCUGGCAUUGUUAUUGCGACUUUAUUUAUCCAAUUGAUGAGCUUAUGAGCUAAUAGUAUUGUUUGAUCAAGCUUGUGUUCUUAAUAGUGGAGUUGAUAUUCUUAAAAAUGAAUUUAUGAUUAUGAGAAUAUGAAAAUUGAAUGGCAUCGUAGAGAUCUAGAUUAAUCACCAUCGUAUAUGUUUCUAAAUAAAGGAAUAAGCAGCAAUCUGAUUUGAAAGUUAAGACUUUAGGGAUAUGUAUGUGCAACUGAAUGAAUCAUCAGUUGCUAUCUUGUAAGUCAAUACUAGCAUAUUACUUAAUGGCAAGUGAAGCUAUUUUAUGUGUAUUGCUGCCUAUCAAAAUGUUUAUGUUUGAAGUUAUCUCCUUUUAGGAAAUUGAAUGCUUCUGUGAGUUCUCUGGUAAGGGCUAUACAACUAGCUCUAAUAGAUUCCUUCAUGUGCAUUAAUUAGCUUAGUAGUUUAUUGACCUAUAUCCAAUGUCUAUUCUUCUUUUCUGUAGCCGUCUAGUUUUAUGAGUGUGUGAAGUGAACUUUUGUUUUAUGUUUCAGGACUUGGGAUUAGAGUGUAUAACAUUCAAUAUCUUUUUAUCAAAGAACUGAUAUAUGUCAAUGUAGUGCGAUCUGGUCUUUAUUAGCUUCUUGAUUUGCCAGGAUGUUUGACAACCAUCUUUGACCAUGAUUGCCAACAUAUAAGCUGCUACAUAGUGUCUCAGGAAUCACAGCAAAUUAUUAUCAUAAUAUGGUGAUUUUGAAUCCAAAACUUGGUAGUGUCAAGAAAAUAGACCCAUGUUUAUUUAUCUUCAUGUUUUGUAUGCGGCUGCAAUAGACUAUUAUAAGUUACUUUUAGUUUUAUCAAGUUUUUUUUUCCUUAAAUUUCAUCGAGUCUUGGAGUCUUUGUAAUAUAGAGUCUAAGUGAAGAAUACUUGGGUGAAAUCUUGUAUUCUCUCUUCCAGUAAUAUAAUCAUCCUUUGUGUUUUUAUCUUUUUAUUUUGGUAUCAGAGCAUACUUUAUUAUAGAAGGACUUAGACUCUAUAUUACAAAGACUCAGCGGUUUCUUUUAACUGAGUUAAUAGUGUUGUUAUGUUAAACUAAGUUUGGCUUCAUAAGAUUCAUAGUAGAGUGUAGAACUGGGUACAAUUUUGGGUUAGACAAGUCAAAAGUCUUCUCAAGUAAUUGUUCUGCUUACUGAUUUGGUAAUUGCAACAUUGCUAAAUAGUUCAAUUUGUCCUUUUAUCUUGUUGAAUUUAUUGUAUGUCAUAUUACUUCAUUUAAUUAUUUUCUCAGAUCUUGUAGGUGAAAAUUUCAGCUUCAAAGGCCAAGCUAAUCAUCCAGCAAUUCAGUGAAACCAAGACACAGUGGCUCAUAAAUUGUUGUUGGUGAUCCAGCCAUUCGGGUGCUUGCCAGUCCUAGAUGAGAGAACUUUCAACGCGGCGCAUAAAUUGUUGUUGAUCUGUUUUAUAUAUUUUGACCUUUGUGAUUUGUGAAUACAUGGUUUGAUUCCAGUGUUUACAACUUUGAUACUGUGUAUAACUUGAGAAGCAAAUGAAACAAAUAGGAAAUGUGUUUUUAUUUUUUUUAUUCUAUCUAUCUAUUUAUUUUUUUGUUUCGAAAUGUAACAAUUUAUAGCUGGCAAAGUACUAGAGUUGUAUACUUGUAUUUAAUUCAUUAUUAUUAUUUUUUUAAUGACUCAGUAACGUCAUUGUCCAUGGUGUUUUGUCAUUUCGAAAGUACUUAACCCUUUGACGCUAAGGCACAUUACAGCUAGGGAUGGCAAUGGGGAGGGGAGGGGAGGGGAUCGAUCUCCCCGUACCCAUCCCUGAUAUUUUGCAUAUGUCCAUGUCCCCGUCCCCGUCAGAAUUACUUGAGAGAAUCCCCAUCCUCUCUCCGAAUAAUAACAGGGGAUCCCCGAAUAACUAAUACAUUUUUAUUUUUUUUUCGAUUUUGAGUUAAUCAUAUUAAAAUAAAAAAUUUAAAUAAAAGUAAAGUUCGAAAUAUAUCUUACAUUAAUAUCUAUUACAAAAGUUACAUACAUUAAAUUAGUAAGUAACGCAACAUGCAAGGGAUACAAACUUCUUUUACAAACUAUCAUGAAUAAAUUAAUAGUCUAAUACAAAAUUGUUACAAAUAAAAUUGAAUUUAGAUUCAAAAUUAACUUUUUCAAUAGUGGCGUGGGCACUUUAUAAAUGUGGACUAUUCCCUUUACAACACAAUAGUUAAAUCGGAGCAAAUCAAAAGUAAAUAUUAGAUUAGAUUAGAUUAAAUAUUAAAAUUGUGAUUCGCUGUGGGCAAUUAUAACAUCUAAAAAUAAAUAAAAAAUAGAUUUAAGUUUAAAAUAUUUAAAGAAUAUUAAAAUUAAAAAAAAUGUUGGGCUAAUAGAAUAUACUCGGUCUUUUUAAUGUCCUAAAUAAAAAUUUAGGACUUUAAUUAGUUAAUUAGGCCUAAAAAUUUAAUAAUAUAAAUAUUUUGAUAUUUUUUAUUUUUACCAAUAUUUAUAAUUUAAAUUUUAUUAUUUAUUUACUAGUAAUUUUAAAAAAUUAAAAUAAAAUUAAAAAUUAAAAUGGGGAAAUGGGUAGGGGAUGGGGAUUCCACCUCAUCCCCGUCCCCUCCCCGAAUAAGAAAUUGGGUAAAAAAAUUUCUUCGUCCCUUUCCCGAAUAAGAAAUUGGAUAUGAAAUUAUUCGUAUACCCUCCCCGAAUGGAAAAAAAUACCCGAGAGUACCCGUCUCCAUGAGGAUUUUUGCCAUCCCUAAUUACAGCAGCCGAAAUUUUGAGCUUUCAGUUCUUGAUUUUAGCGUGAGGGGUAUCUUUGUCGUUUCAGUUGUCAACAAACAAUUUGGGGGGGGGGGGGGGGGGGGGGGGGGUGGGUUGUUGGAGAUACGCUGAUACUUUCUAUCAUACUGGAGAUACACCUAACCUCAGGGGAGGAAAAUUACACCUUUACGACGUGUGAACUUGGGUCAAACUUUCAUAUUUUAAUCAAGUAGGUCGAUCACGAUUCAAGCUUCAGUCAUAAGCCUUUCGUUAUGAUUGAUAUUAUUCUUUCUUGAUAGUAUCAUGGAAAAUGCAAACGAAAAGUCAGCAUCUUUGAGUUUUGUCUCAUCAUAUCCGACUUGUUGGUCUACUAAUCAAUCGACAGGCCCUUUUGAUCUUGAUAAUUUGAACUUAAGGAGGCAAAGCAGCAAUCCUGAAGAGCCAUUGCUUGAUGCUGAGAUCGUUGUUGACGGCAAAUCAGUGGCAGUUAAUCGCAGCAUAUUGUCUGCACGCAGUCGUUUUUUUCAUUGGCUUUUUCAUUUGAGCAGUGAUGGUUCUGUGAGUGAGGGGAAACCCAAGUAUCUUAUGACUGAUUUGGUGCCUUAUAGGAAGGUUGGAUAUGAAGCUUUUAAUGAUAUCUUGCAUUAUCUUUACACUGGAAUGCGUAAGGCACCUCCUUCAGAAGUGUUCACGUGUGUUGAUGAUACUUGUGUUCAUCUUGUUUGCCCUCCUGCUAUUAAUUAUGUUAUUGAGUCGAUAUAUGCUUCUGCUGCUUUUAAGAUGACAGAGGUCGUUUCGGUUUAUGAGGUAGUUGCGCUUUCCCGCUACUUGUAUUGCUUAAAUUUAUGCUUAUUGGUAUAGUUUUAACAUAUGUGGGAUUGAAAUCAAUUUCAGUUGUGACUUGCAAAGAGCCAAAGAAUCUGUUGUUUUAUUUUGAAAGAGACAAAGAUGAUGAUGAUGGGCAGUGAACUCUAGGAAUCAAUGCUUGCUGACACUGACACCCAAGAAUGAUAAAAACUAACCAAAAAGGUAUAUAGAUUACAUGAGUCUGAAUUUGAUAAGUGCACCUAUCCUAUCGCAAAAAGCUUUUGCGUUCAGUUUCUAACCAAGGAAAAUUGUCACUUCUGUCUGUAGGCUUCAUAGAUUUGUUCAAGCCUUCAAGGAUGUCUAGCUGUUACUUAGGGUCCAACAAUGGUGCUACAUUUCUAGUGAAUGAUAUGUUAUCUACAUCUGUAUAUUGGAACUUUGACAAACUUCGCCUUUCCUUUGUUGAUACACUCGUCUCACUUUUAUUAAAUUGCCUGAUUAUGAAAUGGUCUAUUGGAGACUAGCAUUGGAAGGUUUCUUCUGGAGAAAAUUUUACUUGCCACCAAUUUUCAUUUUGGUCGGUGUCAGUUCAUGCGCUGGCUUGAUUGUUCUGUUAUUUAGGUUGUUUUAUCCGUAUUUUCUCACUAUCUUGAUAGUUAGUUCUCUCAUACUUCCAAUCUCAGCAGUGAAUGCGAAAGAUUCUCUUUUUCCUGUCCAGGUUAUAACCUAGCAAAUCAAUAAUGCUGUAGAAUAACAUCUUGUGUAGGUGAGCUUAUGUCUCUGAACAUUGGUCCACCGGCAUUUAGGUUCGAUAAGCAUGGCAUUGAUUUUCCCCCUCAUUGUUAUUUUCCUGCACAGAUUACCCCCUUUAAGUAUUUGAAUUUUGAAUACAUUAUUCUGAAUCAAAACUCUAUACGUCCGUGUAGCAUUUUAUAUAUGCUUUAUGAUAUUUACCAAUAAUUACCCACUGCGAGGUAUUUGAAUUUUGAAUAUAUUAUUCUGAAUCAAAACUCUAUCUGUCCGUGUAGGAUUGGCUUCUGAAGGUGGUUCGGGAGGCUCUUGUGGAAGAUGUAAUACCAAUUCUCGUAGCUGCCUUGCAGUGCCAACUGUACCCACUCUGUUCUUUCUGCAUCCAGAGAAUUGCAAGGUCAAAUAUUGACAAUGUUUGUCUCGAGAAAGAGCUUCCUGAUGAAGUUUCAAGUCAAAUCAAAUCACUCCGGGUCAAAUCUAACCAGGAGUCUGAAGCUAACAUAAAAGAAGUGGAUCCUAUGCAUGAAAAGAGAGUCAGAAGAAUCCACAAGGCGUUGGACUCUGAUGAUUUUGAACUGCUGAAUCUUCUUCUGAAUGAAUAUAAAGUCACUUUAGAUGAUGCUUACGCUCUGCACUAUGCUGCUGCCUACUGCAACCCUAAGGUUUUUAAGGAAGUGCACAAUAUGGGCUUGGCUGAUAUCAAUCUUAAGGAUGCAAGAGGACGUACGGUGCUUCAUGUGGCUGCAAGGCGUAAGGAGCCAGAAGUGAUGGUGGCUCUGCUGAGCAAGGGAGCAUGCUCAUCAGAAACUACACCAGAUGGGCAAACAGCUGUAGCAAUCUGUCGGAGAAUGACAAGGCGAAAGGAUUAUAUUGAAGCUACAAAGCAGGGGCAGGAAACUAACAAAGACUGGUUAUGCAUUGAUGUCCUUGAGAGAGAUAUGACAACGAACUCCACGUCUGGGAACUUGGCAAUGUCAUCAGAGGUGAUAGAUGAUGUUUUCCAAAUGAAUCUGGACUAUCUGGAAAAUAGAGGUGAUAUUUCUUUACUGGUAUUAAUUCAUCACCUUCUCAGAGUUUGUGCAUAGCACACUUCUUUUUACUAUUCGAUUGUCCCUUCAUCUUAGCAUCUCAAACACAAAUGGGCUCAGUGCUUGGAGCACACUGUUGGCCAGUCAUGUGAUUUGAUCCCUUUUUUGGAAUAGACAAUUCUGAAUACUGGUCUAGGCUUGGCGGUUUGCACUGAACUGGUUUUUGAUGAGUAAUUGCACAAGACUUUGUCAUCAAAACUUUUUUUUUUGGUUUUUUUUCCCCAAAAGUAAUGAGGUACAAAAAAUUUUUUGCCUAUCCUGGAUGAGUGCCGCAACAGCUUCUUAAUAUUUUGCAGUGGCUUGUGUACGGUUGUUUCCUUCUGAAGCUAGAGUAGCUAUGGAAAUGGCAGGUGCAGAUAUCGCCACUGGCCUUUCAGCAUUAGGUCGGAAAGGACUAAGUGGGAACUUAAAGGAGGUUGAUUUGAAUGAAACGCCCUCUAAGCAAGCCAAAAGAUGCCAAUUGAGACUGCUCACUCUGCUUAAAACAGGUAUUUACAUACUUUAUUAACUUUUGCGCCUUUCUAUUUACUGAUUAUCUUUAUAAUUAAAUAAUACAUGUAUCCAGGUUUCUCCUUCCAUUUCAUUAGAAGUAAAUUGGAAUCUCUUUAUAGUGCUCUGUUAGGUGUAAUCAGACGUAUCAAAAGAGACAGGGUAAUUGUUAGUACAUUGAUAUCUCAACAAAAUGGUAGAACCUUGCUUUAUACCACUAAAGACAUUUGUUGCAGGUAUGCCUACAUAAUCAGUGUCCUUUAAAACUUUCAAGGAGUUCGCAAUGCCUAACCCUUGAAACACUAAAUCUCACUAGAUCAACUCUUUACCUCUGGACUGAAGGUGUGACACCCAGACCCAAUUAGGGCUUAGAACACAUAUCGAAUCUGAGCGAAACUAAAUGCUUGUAAAUCCAAAUCUCCAAAAUAUCAAAAGGUCAUCUACUUUCUCUUUUCAUAGAUUUCACAAAAUUUUGAAAAACUCAUUCUCAAUCAUAAACUAUGCCCAGCUAAUUAAUCAACAUAUCACUAUACAACAAUACUUCCUCAUAAGCAAAUAAAUCUUACAAUCCUUCUUCCAUGAUUUAAAAAAAAAAAAAGAAAUAGUUCUAGAAGUCUUCUAAAUACAAACAUAAACAGAAUUCAACUGCUAAAACUGUGCCAAAAUACUAGCUUCAAUCAGUAAUACACACGACUAAUUAUUAAAUCAGUAAUACACGCGACUAAUUAUUAAAAACAUCUAGCUAGAAACCUUAUGAAAGCUCAAUCCUUCCGAAGCAUUCUUCGAAUUAAUAAUUGCUACCAUCUGUGAAAAAUAAUUGACAAGGGGUCAGCUGUUAACUCAAUCAGUAGAAACACUAAUAAUGAACAGAAAGAAUUCUUUGUGCAAUAUUUUCAGAAAAUUCAUUUAACCUUUCAAAUGAAACAGAGUAAUUUUUCAAACACAGUCAGGACUUAUAUAAAAUAUAAACAUUUCCGACAGAAGCUUUUUGGAACGUAAAUUUUGCUUCUUUAAACAGAAAGUUAUACAUUAGUUUGAUUUUAAAGGGAGGUUAUUGGGAAGUUAAAAUUGGCAGUUGUGGUAAAAGAGUAAUAGCAGUUAUAAAAUCUCUUUAAAAACAAAUUCGAAUCAAGUUUCAAAGUUUGGAAGUACUUAAUUCAAUAAAAUAAGGAAUAAAUAAAGCUUUCACUGAAACAAAACUAAGUAAAUUCAUUUAAAGCAAAACCGGAUGGGAGCAUUACCUAAGGAUUCUUGACCAUACCAUGUUUACCCGCAGUCAGAUAGCUGGGACCUUGUUAUUUGGGGACAAGACUUGAUUGUGCCAUGUUUUCCGCAGCCAGAUAUCUUUUACUUCAUUAUUUCCUAGACAUCUGUGGAUAAGAGAACCCUAAGCCUAUAGAGAAUAAAUUAUGUAAUCCAAGACUCUUCAGUCCUUUCAUUUGUGGCUAAUUAGUUAUAAAAUUUGUAAAUUUCAUGCCCCACGCCCCUUGCAAAAUGCAUUUUAUAUCCUUAAAAUGCCAGUGGAUGAACUGAAAUAAUAAAAAAUGGAAAACAGACUUAAUGUUGGUAGCAUUUCUUAAGAAAAACUUGGGAAGUUUAUAAUUUUCUUAGAGCAUUUGCUGAACUUUCUGUGAUCGCAGUCGAGACGGGUCAACGCUAUUUCCCUCAUUGCUCAGAUGUGGUUGAUAAGUUUAGGUAUUGCAACCGCCCUCAUUGCUCAGAAUUGAUUGAUGAGUUUUUGGAUUGUGAUUGGUCCGAUGCUUCCCUCCUAGAAAAGGGUACUCCUGAAGAGCAGAAACUAAAAAGGGCAGGCUUCAUGAAACUUAGAGUAGACAUGCAGGAGGCACUCCGCAAGGACGUGGCUUAUCACCGUUGUUCAGGGCUGCCAUCAUCCUGGUCGGCAUUUUACAAGUACAUGGCUGAGAGCAUUCGUUCAGGUAUGCCGACAUCCUCAGCAGCGAGCAAUUAAGCAUCACCUUUCCCCAAAAGUUAUAUUUGACUCCUGGGAAACUAAAGAGUUUAGUGAGCUUGAUUGGUAUUUGUAGUUUUUUUUCCCUCAAGUGAUCUGGCAUGUAUCAAUUAGUUUGUAAAAUUAUUGUAUGGAUCACAAACUCACAGAAUAUUUUUUUUGUAAAAUUAUGUAAUUUAUAGGCUAUGCUCAAAAAAUUAGAAAAAGAAAAAAGAAUUGUAUUACAGUUGGUAUGAGACAUGCAUGUGUAAGAUAAUCUUGUUUUUUUGUUUUUUGAAACUGGAAACUUCAUUAAAAGGCAAAGAUUACAGAGAAGUAAGUAACCAAGGAGGUGGAACAUGACUCCACUCCUUAAAGCCCGACAAAGAAUCCCCCACCCGGGCAGUAACAUGGGCAGCAGUGUUCGCAGACCUUCGAACAAAAGAGAAUUCAAUAUCUCCUAUAGACUUAGCUAAAGCUAGACAAUCAUCAAGAAUAAGACCACACCAAUUAGGACAAGAAUAACUUUAUGUGAGAGCUUUAAAAACCUGAAUGCAGUCCAUUUCAACUACAACACAUAUAAUCUUUUGUUUUAAAAAACAGAAAACUGGAGAUUUCUUUUAUUUUUCCUUAAAAAAUGAAGAAAAUUUUAGAAAGUAGUGAGAGAAAUAAAGUAAUUAUAUUCAUAAAUAUAAUGUGUUUGCUGCAGCAACACAAACUAAUAAAUUAUAAUUUAUGAGAUUAGCUUAGAGAAUCAUACAUAUAAAAUUAUAUUCUUUGAGUAAAAAUCUACACAUCUCUUUUAACUUCUCAUUUAGAUGUUCUUUCUAAAAUCUCUCCAGCGAUAAAUACAUUUUUAUAAAACAAAACAGAAAAAAAAAAUAUAAUUGUUUAUAAGGGGACUCACCUAUGUUGCAACAGUGAUAUUAUACCGCGGUUUUGUCUUUAUCUCAUGUUACCAUUAGAUUUUAAAGCAAGUGAUCCAACGCACAAGAGAUGGCCACGUUUCUAUUAAAGCAAACUGGGAAAUUCGGUUAAGAAAAGGUAAAAUUACUUGUAACAGAACUCACCGUGGGUUACUCAACUUUGCUCUGUGAAAAUGCACGGUUGCCUGUUGCAUAAGGAUUGUAGAGAUGUAAGCCCACAGUGACUGUGUCUGUGCUCAUCGCCACCUCGAAGUUGCCAAGGGAGCUUCCCCUUUUCGGCCGUCAUGUCCGACAGGAAAAUACCAAGCUCCACCGGCGCUCUCAUUUGUCGCAAGGGUUUAAAGGGUUUCAAUUAUUGAAUGAGCAGAAGAAAAUUUAUUGAAAGAGAGAGUGUAAUUAUCAGAAAUUGGUUAGGCAUGGAAUGUUUAAUAUUCUUUUCUUAAAUCUUAAAUCAUUUUGGGUAUUUGGGUGCUUGUGAAUUUUAUUUUCUUGUAAUGAAUUUAUGAAUAUUUUUACUUGGGAUUUGUCUCGGUGAAAAGUUUAUUUUAUUUUAUUUAUUUGUGGAUAAAUGAAGUUGAUGUUUUUGGUAUUAUAAAACUAGGUUGUUUGUAGGCGUUGUAAGAAUAUUGACAUAUUAUGCCAUGUUUGUCAAUCUAAAUAAAAUAUAAGAAAACCCGUUUGCUUGUUCUCAUGUAGCUUUGAGAUUUGUGAGUCACUUUGUAGUGGGUUGCAACAUGGUUUGUCGUUGAAAAUGAAUUGGCUGUAAAGGGUGAAAUGAUGCUGAAGAUAAGUUGAAAUUGAAUUCAUUAAAGUGGUUUGAGCACUAAGGUAAUCAUCCACACUGUAAUACUUUUUUAAUAUGCAUAAAAAAGAAAGAAAUAUGAAGUUUUAUAUACAGGUUUACUUGUUUUAGGUGGCUGAAACUUUGUUUAGAUGCCAUCUUUUUCCUUUCAACUGGCAAAUAUUGACAAUGCUGAGUACUACACAUGGUUAAUUAGGGAUAUAGAGUUUGUUAGUUUGGUCAUUGAAGUAUAGAUUGAAAAAAUGCAUAAUAUAUAUGUUUCAACAUUUAACCACUUUUCAAUGAGGUAGCUACUUUACUUGCUAGUUCAAUUUUUAUGGGAUUGGUGUUUUUUCUGUUUGACAUGCAUUAUACAUUUAUCAAUUUUACCAAGAUAAGAGUUGCAUAAAUCUGUUGAAAUAUUUCAUUCGAGGAUCGGUUUAAGAGUGUUUUUCUGCAGAACUUAGAAAAUGUAUUCUUGAAUGCUCUGUAUUCGGGCUUUAUAAUUUGUUAAAAUUUUGAAAAAAGAGGGCAAUCAUUUAUUUACAGAUUGAAAGCGAAAACGACUUGAUCCCCAUCCCUGACGUCCCCCCAUCGCAGUGAUAUGGACCUAUAAAGUGCAUCUCAGUACAUUGAUUGAGUUGUUAUCUAACCCCUUAAUUGAGUUGAUUGAUUGUCUGGGUAUUUUUAAUUUUUUUUUGUUAUUAGUGGAAUUUUGAUUUAUUGGAAUGCAAAAAUGAUGAUUUUUCAAUUUUUUUUUUUUUUUUCUAGGGGAUUGGUUGUGAGCAUAAUCAAAUUACUUAGCUAAAUCAAAGAGAUGGCUACUAUUGGUUAGCUGGGAACUAUUUUUAUCUGACUGACCUCUAAGCUGAUAAUUCUAAUCCAUUAUGAUUUAUUGGUUUUAUCUGCAUGUGGAUUAUUGCAUUGAAGCAUCAGUUAGUUGCUGUAGAUUAGUUUUCUACCAAGUAUUAUGUACUUCAGUAAAAUUCUGAGGGUGAUAAUUGUUAAAUCUCGCUUAAAUUCCAUUCAUGUGAGCAAGAUACAAUUUUGUUCUAAUUUUCUUCUAAACUUUUAUAUGGUGGAAAUCUUCUUAGAAUUAAGAUUGUUGUGCAUUCUUCUUGUAUUUGCUCAGUUGAUGAAUUUCACAGAGUUGCCUGUAUUCAUUGUUGUGUGAAGACAUCAUGUAUGGUUUGCUAUCGUGUCUUGCUUGAUUCUACUUCAUGUGAACUCAUCUCCCACAUUCUGAGCACUGCUAUAUUGUUUUCCGAAAGUUAUUGAGCAUUUUGCAAAUCAAGUUUAUUACAAUUGCUUCUUAUAUAGACGAAGUGUAAUAACUUACAACUGGUACUAAGACUACUUUAUAUCCCUUAUCCCACUAGAAAGAAGGCCCUUAUGUUCCUAAAUUAUAUGUUCUCCUAUUACAUAUUACAAGCUAGGAUAAAGCAAUGAUACAAGCUAAUCAGGUACGAUGCAACCAAAAAUUUCAAUUUUAAAUUUAUUCUUGUUAUUUUACAUUGAAAUAGAAUUAGAAUGAGAAUCCUUCAGUGUCAAAUGGGAAGUUUGAAACAAAUUUUGCAGGAUCAAAAGGGAAUUGGCGGCUAAAUUGCUGGCUGAUUGUAACAUAGCUCAGGGAGAUCAAAUUCUGAUUGCUGCAGAUUAUGAACAUCUCCAAAGUUCAUCUGGUAUUGUGAAAUGUAAUAAAAGUUUGAUUUAGCUGUGGCAUGAGGCAUAAAUGAUGAGGAUUAGUGGCUGAAUUGGUGACUAAUUGUAGCUUAGGGAGAUUAGAUUCUGAUUGUAGCUCAGGGAGAUCAGAUUCUGAUUGCUGCAGAUUAUGAACAUCUCCAAAGUUCAUCUGGUAUUAUGAAAUGUAAUAAAAGUUUGAUUCAGCUGCGGCAUGAGGCAUAAAUGAUGAGGAGAAACCACCCAAGAAAUUAUUCUCAUCAAGCAUCGAAGACGAAAAGCAAUGGUCAUUGCUAUGUGUGUGUUCAAAUGAUGUCGUCAGAAAAGAUAGAAGAGAUGCAAUCUCUUUAUUGUCCAAGUACUCAUUAUUAACACCUGAGCCUUUUUUAUGAUUGUUACUAUGGUGGCUUAGUUUUUGUUCAUGUUUUUAUCGCGAUGUUGGUUGUGGAAUCGAUUGGCUGCCACUGAAACAAAUGUGUUCCUCUGUAUGUGACCUCAAAUAUGAAGGGGUCUUCAUCUGAUCUUUGCAAUUGCUUUUUAACCCAAUAGUUUUGUGUAUUUUUGUAGGUGUAUCUGUAAUAGCUUCUGCAAAUCCAAAUUAAUAAUAAUAAUAAUAAAAGCUCAUAAUCAGACUUAUCAAUAAGAAAAACUCGUCAAUUAAAAAAAUUAAAUGUGAUAAGAGGAAAUACUUUUCACCUGGGAUAUUUGGCCCCAAGGAUAUCUUUCUAGCCAUAUCUUCUCCAUCUAUAUCUAUCUGCAAGGGGUCCUUCAAGGCCACUCUCAAAGUCAACUUUAUCUGUCCGUCUUGGCAAUGUCUUUAUGCAGCACAAUUUUGCAAUAACCAUUAACAAGAAAAUAACUUGCAGACAUUCACAGGGUAAAUAAAUAUUCAUUUAAGAUUACAAAUUCACCUUUGCUUUGAUCUAUCUUGAUUAUCCUUCAAAGCCCCAUCAAAAUCCUCACUUUAAGGGCUCCUAUUGAUGGAUAUUGGAGACUCAGGUAGUGCACUACUAGUUGCUCCCAUAACUUGAGCCUGUCCCAUUGAGCCACUCUAUUUCAGAAUCAAAAGAGCUUUCUCAUUUGAAGACAAUAUCAUCUGCACUAGUACUUCACUUGUUUCGGCUGAUAUGUGAAUAUGGUUAAUGCUACAGGUGGCAUUGAGGCAUAACGUAAGGACCAAAUUUCAAACACUACAAAACCAUAUCAAAAAAAGUUUGCUCUUCCAGCGCGAUCUUUCUCAUUUGCCUUGGCAAUAACAUUCAAAGCAAAUCUCUCCAGGAACAAAUUGCCUUCAGGCCCCAACUUCAAUGACUUCUUAUCUUGCAAAGGACUAAUAUCAUUCUCACCAAUUACGAAAAAUACAUAAUGAUGAAAGGAACCAUAAAUCUGGGAGAGAACAAAUACAUUAAAAUUUUAUUGCCUCAAAUUUUACAUUUAACUGAAUAGCAGUCACAAUGUGAGAAAUUUCAAAAAAAGUCAGUGAAAUGAAAUAACCAAAAGGAAGCUCCACAACUCAAAACUACAUAAAUCAUUCGAUACCUUAAAAACACUAGACAACAACCUUAAAAACUACAUAAUCCUGCUGCAUCCGCUUCGAAUGACACAACAACAAAUAAAAAUUGUAUUGAUUAAUAGUAAUAAAUUACAGUUGGUAUGAGACAUGCAUGUGUAAGAUAAUCUUUUGUUUUAAAAAACAGAAAACUGGAGAUUUCUUUUAUUUUUCCUUAAAAAAUGAAGAAAACUAUAGAAAGUAGUGAGAGAAAUAAAGUAAUUAUAUUCAUAAAUAUAAUGUGUUUGGUGCAGCAACACAAACUAAUAAAUUAUAAUUUAUGAGAUUAGCUUAGAGAAUCAUACAUAUAAAAUUAUAUCCUCUGAGUAAAAAUCUUCACAUCUCUUUUAACUUCUCAUUUAGAUGUCCUUUCUAAAAUCUCUCCAGCGAUAAAUACAUUUUUAUAAAACAAAACAGAAAAAAAAAAAAAAAUAUAUAUAUAUAUAUAUAUAUAUAUAUAUAUAAUUGUUCAUAAGGACUAUUUGUACAUAGUACACAAUUGGCCACCAAAGUUAUUUUGGGAGAAAAUUUACAUGAGAUGGGUACAUCACAUCAUCAGUAUUUUUGUCUCAAUUUCAACAUGCGUCUGUUGUACGAAUCUUACGAGAAUGGUCUCUCAUAAAUAUGAGAGAUGGUGAGGAGUGGGUUAAAGUGCAUCUACAUAGAAUUAAUUAAAAUUAAAAUUUUAUUUUUUUUAACUAUUUUUAAUUAAAAGUAGUAGUUAUUCUUUUUAUUAUUGUUAUUCUCGUUAUAUCAACAUCAAGUGACUGGUGAUCAAAUUAAGUAGCUCAUUAAAUUUUUUAAGUGACGUAUGUUAUGGAGUUUCUGUGCAUCUAUUUAAAUAGUAAAAUAUUUAAUUUUGCUUGUUGUAAAAUUUUAAUUUACGUGGGUUAAAAAAGAAAAAAAAAAGAAAAAAGAAAUUGACUUAUUAAUUAAUUAACAAUUAUAGAAAGAAUAAAUUGAAAAUUGUAGUUGGGUGAGAAAACUAAUUCCUUUCCCUGGCUUCGUGCGUUUGCUUUUGCCCUUGCGAGCACGAAUUUGAAUCCAAUACUUUAUAAUAAAGAUAUAAUAUUAUUAUAAUACUAAUAAUUAACAUUAAAAUAUUAUUUAUGCCAGUAUUAAAGUAGUAAAUAUCUAAUUUUAAGAUUAUGGAAAGCUCCGAAAAAUCCGGACGUGGAAAAAACCCUAGCGCUGGAGGAAUUUUCCCUCCGCCGUUCAGGGAAACUAGAACCACUAAGAAAGCACGGUUUCGUGAUGAGGAGGUUGCUGAUGAUACCCCUGUGCAUGUCUCGUAUAAGGAAACCCUCGUGAACUCAUCGCGAGCAAUGGAGACGGGUUAUGGUGGCGAAACAGUGGACUGGGAGUUUGAGGAAGGGGAUGUGACUGAGAAUAAAGAUGGACCUAUGCCUUCCAUAACCUUCUCGGAUAGGGUUCAUGAGAAGUUAUGUGCGCCAUGGAAGAACUCAGUGAUAGUGAAGUUGCUGGGCCGGACAAUCGGAUAUAAAACACUCUGUACGAGAUUGAAUGCUAUGUGGAAAACAACAAUGAGUUACUCGGUGAUCGACUUAGAAAACAACUAUUUCCUGGUUCGUUUUCGUUCGGCUAAUGAUGCUGUUGAUGCCCUCACAAAAGGCCCUUGGAUUAUCAUGGGACAUUAUCUCACGGUGCAGCCAUGGACGCCAUCUUUUGAUUUCAAUACAACGGAUAUGGAUCAAGUUAAUGUAUGGAUCCGUUUACCUGGACUCGCUGUUCAUCUAUAUAACCAGAAAAUUCUUCAAAAGCUCGGACAGUUGGUGGGUACAGUGAUUAAAAUUGAUUCGAACACAGCUUCCUCUGCGCGUGGGAGAUUUGCCCGACUUGCAGUUAGUCUCUCCCUGGCUAAGCCUUUAGUUUCUCAGUUUGUGUUGGAUGGUAAGGUACAGAAGGUAGAGUAUGAGAGGCUGCCAGUGAUUUGCUUCACAUGUGGUAGAUACGGCCAUAGUAGUAGCAAUUGCAAGGACUCGAGUUCAAUAAACAAUUCUGGAGAGGGUGCUCAACCACAACCUAAUAUGGAACGUCAGGAGAUCCCUAUCAAACUAGAUGAACAUUGUAAUGAUGCUAGUAUUGCCGAGCCGUUUGGACCAUGGAUGAUAGCCACGAGAAAAGGCAGAAAAUUUAAUAGUGGCAAGGACAUGACCAAUGGUUUUCAUAGGAACCGUGAGACUAUAGGGGCUAAUUUGUCCAGAUUCCAAAUAUUAGAGCAGGUCACUGACGACCGUGAGAACCCCUUCCAUGCAGCUAUGAAAGAUAACCCUUCCACUUCUCAUCAACCAACCACGGCCAAUCCUCACCAGAUAUUCACUGCCAACCAUGAAGCUAGAACAAAAACUCCGGCUCGACACAAGCAACACACCACAGCUGUUACUACAAAACCCCAGAGGAAGACCCCAACCCGAAACCCUUUCCAACAGAGGGCUUUCACUAUAAGAGAGGAAAAUACAAACUAUUCACUUCAUGCAAACCCUCAGACCACAUCAUGCUUUAACCCUCAGAUUAGCCCUAGUCAUCAACAAAUCUCCCCUCUUGUUACAACCUUGGACCCAAAGAAGCAUACGGUGAUUUUUUGUGCUACCCAAAACUUUCCUGCUGGGGGUGUAAGGGAGGCAGUCAGCGAGCAUAGAGAUUGGUUGUGACCAGAAUAUGAACACUCGUCUGACCCUCCAGACGAUCAAAAUGCGGCUCGUGUAAACGACAUAAAUGCUCAAGCACAUCCGGAUGUGUAUAUGGGUGAAAAUAAUGGGGAGGAGAUGUCCGAUGAGGAGGAUUCGAUGAUUGAGGAAACACCCUCGGUGUUGAUGCCUGAAGUGAAUGGACAACAUUAAUAAGGUGUCUGCGUUUCCUUCUUUUGUUUUGUUUAUUUCAUGACGAUUAGCAUUAUGUAUUGGAAUGUCCAAGGGGCAGCUUCGGCUGAUUUUCGGCGCUCUUUUAGGACAAUUAUUAAAAAUUAUAAUCCAUCUAUGGUGGUUUUGAUGGAGCCUCGCAUUAGUGGGGUUAAAGCAGAUGAUUUCAUAAAGAUGAGUGGUUUCGAUCAUUCUCACCGAGUGGAAGCAGAGGGCUUUUCUGGUGGAAUUUGGCUUCUUUGGCAGAGUUACAUAGAGGUGGAGGUACUGCUGAAUCAUAGGCAGUUUAUUCACUUUAAAAUAUGUAGGAAUAAUGUAUUUGUGUCUUGGGGAAUGGCUGUCUAUGCUAGCCCAAACCCAAUGUUGCGGAGACAGCUGUGGAAGCAUAUGGAUAGCAUUGCUAUGUCGACUCAAGGGCCUUGGCUAAUUGGAAGGGAUUUUAAUUCUAUUUUGUAUGCUUCUGAAAAGCAGGGGGGUGUUACACGGAGUUCUGGAGUGUGCGACAUUUUUCGGCAGUGGUUUGAUGGGCACCGAAUUUUUGAUCUAAAAUUUAAAGGUCCUCGGUUUACCUGGUCUCGUGGACUUCUGUUUAAACGUCUUGAUAGAGCUCUCUGUAAUAGUGAUUGGCUAACAAAAUUUGCGGACAAUUCUGUUCUUCACCUUCCGAAAGUUGCUUCAGAUCACAGGCCGGUGCUGGUUCGUUUCGAGAAAGCUGAUUCAAGACAUCGGGGGUCUAGGCCAUUCCGUUUUUUAGCACCUUGGCUGACUCAUGUACACUUCAAUUCUUUUGUUAAGAAAGUGUGGGACCCUCAAGCCCAUUAUAGUGAUGCGGCGUCCCAUUUUUUCCAAGCAGUCCAAGAGUGGAAUAGGGAGGUGUUUGGGAAUAUUUUUCAGCGAAAACGACGACUAAUGGCUCGAAUAAAUGGGAUUCAGGCUGCCUUAGAAAGUUACAACUCCCGAGGGCUUGUGCGUUUAGAGGCUAGGUUACGGAACGAGUUAGAGAUGGUGAUGGGUCAAGAGGAAAUUUUUUGGUGGCAAAAAUCUAGGAAAGAUGAGCUCUUGCACGGGGACAGGAACACUAACUUUUUCCACCAAAAAACCAUAGCAAGAAGACGGAGAAAUAGAAUUGAAGCUAUUCAAGAUAGUUCGGGAAACUGGAUUUAUAGCGAGGAAGAGAUUCGUAAUCAUGCAAUUGGGUAUUUUUCAUCUUUAUACAGAAGUGAAGCUACAACCCCUCAACACUAUCAGGUACCGAAUUUUUUUCCAGUCUUGAAUGCUUAUGAUUUGGAGAGUACUACUGACCUAGUUUUGGAUGAAGAAAUUAAAAGGGUGGUUUUUAGCAUGAAGCCCCUCAAAGCUCCAGGUACUGAUGGCUUACAUGCCAUCUUUUACCAGUCUCAAUGGCCAGUUGUUGGGCCUUCCUUCUGCAAGCUUAUGGCUGAUAUUUUUAGUUCGGGCAAGAUCCCCCAGGAAAUCAAUACCACCCUUUUGGUAUUGAUUCCUAAAGUGGAGCACCCUACUAGCCUAAGUAUGUUUAGGCCUAUCAGUUUGUGCACAUUUGCUUAUAAAACAGUAACUAAAAUAAUUGCUAACCGCCUGCAAGCCUUGUUGCCUGAACUCAUAGGACCCCAUCAUACUAGCUUUGUACCCGGCCGCCAUAUUAUCGAUAAUAUUGUCGUUGCUCAGGAAGUGGUUCACUCCAUGCGAAAGAAAAUGGAGAAAAAAGGGUUUAUGGCUAUCAAGGUGGAUCUUGAAAAAGCGUAUGAUCGACUUAAUUGGGCCUUUAUUUUUUAUACUCUUCAACAAACUGGUCUUCCGAUUCAGUUAUCUAGACUUGUCAUGGAAUGUGUAACUUCGGCUCGAAUGAGUAUUUUGUGGAAUGGUGAGGCUACAGCAGAAUUUGCCCUAGGGAGAGGAAUCCGUCAGGGAGAUCCGCUAUCUCCUUAUAUUUUUGUCUUGUGCAUUGAACGGUUGAGUCAUGGAAUAACCCAAGCCGUGAGGGAUGGUAACUGGAAGCCUAUUCGAUUGGCCAAGCAUGGAACUCCACUAACGCACUUAUUUUUUGCAGAUGAUUUGCUCCUUUUUGCAGAGGCGUCAAUUGAUCAAGCUUAUACUAUAGAUGCAGUGCUAGAAAAUUACUGCCGAAGCUCUGAAGCUAAGGUCAAUAAGUCGAAAACUAAAAUUUAUUUUUCUAAGAAUGUUGUUUCAAGAGAAGCUCAGCUCCUCAGUGAUGUUUUGGGGUAUUCAGUUACAAAGGAUUUGGGGUGCUAUCUUGGAAUGCCACUUCUCAAUUCGAGAGUGAAUAAAGCUACUUAUCAAAUGAUUCUUGACAAGGUGGAUAAGAGGCUCACGGGCUGGAAUGCAGCUCAUUUAUCCUUUGCUGGCCGAAUCACUUUGGCCCAUUCGGUGCUUCAAGCAAUGCCAAUUUAUGCAAUGCAGACGACUUUACUCCCAGCUCCGGUGCGUGGGAAGAUUGAGAAGUCUUGCCGUCGGUUUAUUUGGGAUGGGAAGUCGAAGAGCCAUAAGAUGAGCAUGGUGGGUUGGAAUAAAAUGUGCAUGCCGAAACCUAAAGGUGCCCUGGGGUUUAAGAAGAUGGAUGUGAUGAAUCAGGCUUUGUUGAUGAAGCUGAGCUGGGAAGUUGUUUCGAACUCAUACAAGUUAUGGGUAAAGGUUAUUUGUUCAAAGUAUGGGUUAGAUCCUAGCCAUUUACCGUUGUCCCUCCCUGAGAAACAAGGAACUAGAAUCUGGAAGGCCAUAAGGAGCACAUGGUCAGCCACCAUAAUGGGAGCUCGCUGGGCUGUCUGUGAUGGAGCUCGAACUCUCUUUUGGCUUGACUGCUGGGCAACAAAGCAAGGCCCGUUGAUCAAUCUCGUUGUCCAUCCAGUGCCUCAAGAGUUGGUUAACGCUACGGUGAGCGAGUUUAUAAACGUGCAUGGGGGCUAGAACUGGCCAGCUUUUGAACAUUUGCUUCCUAACUCUAUUCUGCUGCAAAUUGCUUCGGUAAUGCCUCAUAAUCGUCUUCUUGGUGUUGAUAAAAUCUACUGGCAUUUUGAACCAAGAGGUAACUUUAUGGUUCGCUCGGCCUAUGAGUCUCUAUGUCAGUUGGAUUCAACUGCUACCGACACUGCAUGAAAUCUAGCAUGGACUUGGAAAGGGCCGCAAGCAGUUCGCAUCUUCCUUUGGCAGGUUCUGCAUGCGAAGCUGAAGAUAAAGGAUGAACUAUCUAGGCGGCAUAUUCCUAUAUCUAUAGGUUGUGAACGUUGUGGGGCUCCACUUGAGGAUAUUAUCCACGUCUUGAGAGAUUGUCAUUGCAUCAAGAGGGUUUGGCUUCGGCUGGUGCCAGCUCGGAAUCAACUCUCCUUCUUUCAGUCUACAUUACGAGAUUGGAUUAUUGCUAAUUUACAAAAUAAGUGGAAAAUUGCUUCUCCAUUAUCUUGGGAAUGUAUCUUCGGCGUAGCGGUUUGGAGAUUAUGGUAUUGGCGGAAUCAUUUUAUCGUGCAUGGGAAGUUGGCGGAUAGCUCAACAGUUUAUUUAGAUAUUAUGGCCAGAGCUAACGAAAUCCAUAGACUAAAUAAUUCUCACAUAAGUCAGCAGCCGCGGCGAAAGGAAAUUUUUAUUGGAUGGCUUCCACCUCCAGGGCCUUGGUGCAAAUUGAAUACAGAUGGGUCUUGUAGAAAAUCUGAGGGUGCAGGAGCUGGGGGUAUUCUUCGAGACUCUGUUGGCCACUGGAUUUCUGGAUUUUGUAUGAAUAUUGGAGAAAGUUUGGUGCUCAUGGCUGAGCUUUGGGGGUUGUAUCAAGGAUUACGUAUAGCUUGGGAUACUGGCAUAAAACGUAUUUUGGUUGAAGUGGAUAGCCUUUGUGUUACUCAAAUGAUCUCGAAGCAGGUGGUUGUGCCUAACGAAUUCUAUGCAUUAGUCGCUGCUGUCCAGGAAUUAGUUAGCAGAAAUUGGCAGAUUUCCAUCACCCAUAUUUAUCGUGAAGCAAAUUCGGCGGCGAAUUUUAUGGCGAAUAUGGCUCAUUCACACCCCCAUGGGUUGCAUUUAUUUUCUAGCCCGCCUGUGGGUAUUUAUUCAAUUAUUGUGCAAGACUUAUUUGGGGUGUCUCAACCCCGUCUUAUUCAUGUUUAGCUCGCUUGUUUGAGCCCCAUUUAAUAAAAAAUACAUUAAAAUAUUAAAAAAUAAGAAAAAAUUCCAAAUUUUUCUAUUUCUGGUUUUAUUUCAGUUUAAUAUUAUUGGUUCCGUUCUGCUCUGUUCUUGGUUGUCUGUAUAUCUGUAUAUAUUUUUGGCCUCGAAUUGCUUUGAUCACCGGUUUUGUUCUUCAUUUAUAGUGAAUUUUAGAUACCCAUUAAACUUGUUUGGCCAUGUAUUCACUUGAUUGUUACAUUCAGCUGCCAUUUUCAUGGUGGGUUUGUAAGAUAGUCUCUGACUAACAUAUGUCAUUGAUUAUGAAUGAUGGUUUUGUGAGAUACACCAUAUAGACGUUAACUUUGUCAAGAUUGAUAUCUCUUCUAGAUAUUCAAACUUUGAAUAUCAAAUUUAAAAUUCUAGAUAUUCAAAGUUUGAAUAUCAAACUUUGAACUUUGAAUUUUGAAAAAUAAUAAAUAAUUGAAAAAAAUACGUGAAUAGUAGCCAAGAUUUUGGCUAUAAAUAGAGGGGCUCAUUCCCUCAUUUGCUCAUCCAAUUUUGAGAAGAGUUUUCUUGUAUUUAGAGAGAGUUUAGAGAGCUUGAAAUUAUAAGCUCUUGUUUUAGUGUUUUAAGAGUUUGGGUGUAUUGGGGUUUUGGGAAGUGAGCUAAAAUACUAUAAUACUUGUAACUCAUUUUCACUAGUAAACUAUUUUUCUUCUGUCUUCGCCCGUGGACGUAGGCUAAAAGCCGAACCAUGUAAUUUCUGGUGUCCUCUUUUAUGCUUGUUCUUUAUUUUCUUCCAAUUUCAUUUUAGCUACGGCCCUGCUUCACCCAUCAAUUUCCUAACAGUGGUAUCAGAGUUAUUGGUUGUAUUUUUGGAGUCGGGUACUAUUCACGUAUACGGUACUGUUCAGGUAUACGAUAUUAUUUAUGUAUACGGUAUUGUUCACGUAUACGGUAUUGUUUAUAUAUACGGUACUGUUCAUGAGAAACUGUGGGAGCGAUCCAAGAAUUUUGCGGUGCAAAGCAGGGAAUAGUGGUGUGAGUAAAGCAACUGUGUGAUUUUGUACAUGUCUAGGAAAGUUCUGUCACAAAGGCGAUAAGAACUUAAGGAGUCUGGAUUUUAAGUGGGACCAUUGUGACCCCUCCAGUCUUUCUUGGGAACUUUCCUGGUGUGCAUAUUCACACAUAUUCACACGUACUCACAACUAUUCGAGGUGAUACACUAGUUUGUGUACAAUAUUUAUCAACAAAAUGGCGGCAAAGUAUGAAAUUGAGAAGUUCUACGGGAAUAAUUUUUCGUUAUGGAAAAUGAAGAUGAAAGUUGUAUUGAGGAAAAAUAAUUACUUGGCAACAAUUGGAGAAAGGCCCAUGGAGAUAACUGAUGACAAGUGGAACGAGGUAGAUGGCAACGCCAUUUCUGAUCUACACUUGGCACUUGCUGAUGAAGUAUUAUCCAGUGUGGCAGAGAAAAAUACAGCGAAGGAAAUAGAGAUACUCUCACAAAAUUGUACGACGCCAAGUCACUACACAACAAAAUCUUAUUGAAGAGAAAACUCUAUACUCUUCGAAUGGCGGAAUCUACAAUCGCGACCGACCACAUCAACACCUUGAAAACUCUAUUUUCACAACUCACAACGUUGGGUCAUAAUAUAGAAGAGAAUGAACAUGCAGAGCUUCUACUUCAAAGUCUACCAGAUUCGUAUGAUCAACUCAUCAUCAACCUGACGAACAACAAUCCAACGGACAGUAUAGUUUUCGACGAUAUUGCAGCCUCCGUAUUAAAUGAGGAGAGCAGAUGGAAAAAUAAGGAAAACAGACAAGCAAGUUCGCAGCAAGCGGAGGCGCUAUCGAUGACGAGAGGGAGAUCAACAGAACGUGGCCCCAGUGGGAGUCACAAUCAUGGUAGAUCAAAAUCUAGAAGUAAGAAGAAUGUUAAAUGCUAUAAUUGUGGCAAGAAAUGGCACGUCAAGAAAGAGUGUUGGAGUAACCAGAAGAGAAAAGAGGGUAAAGAUCAUGAGUCAUCAAAUGCUCAGGGGUGUGUAGCAAGUACCUCGGAUGAUGGUGAAAUUCUCUACAGCGAGGCAACAACUGUUUCAAAAGGCAGAAAAUGACUAUUUGAUGUCUGGCUUAUAGACUCAGGAGCUACCUGACACAUGACCUCUCGAAGAGAAUGGUUCCACACAUAUGAACCUAUCUCAGGAGGAUCUGUAUAUAUGGGUAACGAUCAUGCCUUGGAGAUCGCUGGUAUUGGUACUAUAAAAAUAAAAAUGUUUGAUGGUACAAUUCGCACAAUUGGGGAGGUACAACAUGUCAACGGUCUGAAGAAAAAUCUAUUGUCUUUAGGACAAAUGGAUAGUCAUGGGUACAAAACUCAUGUGGAGAAUGGAAUUAUGAAGAUCGUUAAAGGCGCGCUUGUAUUGAUGAAGGCAGAAAAGAUCGGUGCUAAUUUAUUCAUACUUAAAGGAGAAACGCUACAAGAGGCUGAUGCGUGUGUCGCGUCAAAUGGAAAAGAAUCAACAAUGAUGUGGCGCCUCAAAUUUGGCCACAUGUCAGAACAAGGUUUGAAAAUUCUCUCUGAGCGAAAAUUGCUUACAGGGCUCAAAUCGGUAAGUUUACCAUUUUGCGAGCAUUGUGUUACAAGUAAGCAGUAUAUAUUAAAAUUCAGUAGAUCUGUUGCUAGAAGUAAAUGCAUUCUAGACUUGAUUCAUUCUGAUGUUUGGGAAUCACCGGAUAUGUCCAUGGGAGGUGCAAAGUACAUGGUGACUUUCAUUGAUGAUUAUUCCAGGAGAUGUUGGGUGUAUCCAAUUAAGAAAAAAGUCAUAUGUAUUUCCAGUGUUUAAAGAAUAUAAAGCGCGGGAGGAACUUGAAUCCGGAAAAAAGAUCAAGUGCUUGAGGAUGGAUAAUGGUGGAGAGUAUACAGACGGUGAGUUUCUUACUUUUUGUAAGUAAGAAGGUAUUCAGAGGCAGUUCACGGUGGCAUAUACUCCUCAACAAAAUGGAGUGGCAGAGCGGAUGAACAUGACUCUUACAGAACGAAUAAAAGCUAUGUUGAGGACUGCAGGUCUACCUAAUUCAUUCUGGGUAAAAGCAGCCAAAAUUGCCUGUUAUAUAGUAAAUCAGUCGCCAUCUACAGCUAUUGGGCUGAAGACAACGAUGGAAAUGUGGAUUGGAAAGCCAACUGAUUACUAAUAUCUACAUGCAUUUGGAUGUCCUGUGUACGUGAUGUACAAUGACCAAGAAAGAACAAAGCUGGAUCCAAAAUCUAGAAGAUGUAUCUUCUUGGGAUAUGCUGAUGGAGUAAAGGGGUAUCGUCUGUGGGACCCCACUACCCACAAGAUCGUCAUCAGCAGAGAUGUUAUCUUUGUAGAAGAUCAACUGAAAAUGAGAAAUGAGGAUAAUAGCACUGUAAAAGAAAAGUCAGAGACUGUACCGGUGUAUGUGAAAAAUAAUCUGGAAAAAGAAGAUUCAGAUUCUUCUAAAGCAGCACCAGAGCACGAGGAACAAGAACCAGUUGAGUCCGAGGCUCCAGAAGUUCGUCGGUCAACUUGUGAGAGACGACCGCCAACGUGGCACUCGGAGUAUGUCACAGAGAUCAACGUUGCAUACUGUCUUCUAACAGAAGAUGUAGAGUCAUCAACUUUCCAUGAAGCUUUAAACAACUCAGAUGUUACUUUGUGGAUGAUAGCAAUGCAUGAAGAAAUUGAAGCUCUACACAAGAAUAACACAUGAGAACUUGUACCACUACCACAUGGAAGAAAAGCCAUUGGUAACAAAUGGGUCUACAAGAUCAAGCGUGAUGGCAAUGACCAAGUGAAGCGGUAUCGUGCAAGAUUGGUGGUGAAAUGAUAUGCUCAGAAAGAAUGUAUUGACUUCAACGAGAUAUUUUCUCUGGUAGUUCGACUCACGACAGUCAGAAUAGUCUUGGCGAUGUGUAUUACAUUUGACUUACAUCUUGAGCAGUUGGAUAUGAAAACUGCAUUUCUUCAUGGAGAACUUAAAGAAGAAAUUUAUAUGCUUCAACCAGAAGGCUUUGCUGAAAAGGGAAAUGAGAACUUGGUUUGUAGGUUGAACAAAUCUUUAUACGGUCUCAAACAGGCGCCGAGAUGUUGGUAUAAGAGAUUUGAUUCCUUCAUCAUGAGCCUUGGAUACAACAGACUCAGUUUAGACCAUUGUGCAUAUUACAAAAGGUUUGAAGAUAAUGAUUUCAUUAUUUUGUUGUUGUAUGUGGAUGACAUGUUGGUAGCAGGCCCCAACAAAGAUCGAAUCCAAGAAUUGAAGGCACAAUUGGCUAGGGAAUUUGAAAUGAAGGACUUGGGACCAACAAACAAGAUUCUAGGGAUGCAAAUUCACCGAGACAGAAAUAACAUGAAGAUUUGGCUUUCUCAGAAGAACUACUUGAAGAAAAUCUUGCGACGCUUCAACAUGCACGAUUGUAAGUGAAUUUUUACCCCACUUCCUGUUAAUUUCAAGUUAUCCUCAAGUAUGUGUCCUAGCAAUGAAGCAGAGAGGAAUGAGAUGUCUCGAGUACCGUAUGCAUCAGCAGUGGGAAGUUUGACGUUCGCUAUGAUAUGUACUAGACCAGACAUUGCACAAGCAGUGAGAGCAGUUAGUCGAUACAUGAUGAAUCUUGAUGGAGAGCAUUGGAUAGCUGUGAAGAGGAUUCUGAGAUACAUCAAAGGAACCUCCGAUGUUGCAUUAUGUUAUGGAGGAUCAGAGUUUACUGUCAGGGGCUAUGUGGAUUCAGAUUUUGCAGGAGAUCUUGAUAAAAGAAAAUCCACUACUGGCUAUGUGUUUACACUUGCUGGAGCAGUUGUAAGCUGGGUUUCAAAACUGCAAAUCAUUGUGGCCCUAUCUACAACAGAAGCAGAAUACAUGGCAGCUACACAAGCUUGCAAGGAAGCUAUUUGGAUACAAAGGUUAUUGGAGGAGCUCGGGCACAAACAACAGAAAACUCUUGUGUUUUGUGACAGUCAGAGUGCCUUGCAUAUUGCAAGGAAUCUAACCUAUCAUUCCAGGACAAAGCACAUAGGGGUACAGUAUCACUUCGUUCGAGAAGUAGUGGAAGAUGGAAGUGUGGAUUUACAGAAAAUCCAUACCAAAGAGAACUUAGCAGAUGUUUUGACUAAGCCAAUUAUUGCUGACAAGUUUAUCUGGAGUAGAUACUCUUGUGACCUAGCAGAAACGUAGGCAACAUGACAAUGACGAAGCAGAAAGGAUGGUGUGGAGAUUGAUUGGUUCUCAAUCAAAUCUCCAAGUGGGGGAAUGUCAAGAUUGAUAUCUCUUCUAGAUAUUCAAACUUUGAAUAUCAAAUUCAAAAUUCUAGAUAUUCAAAGUUUGAAUAUCAAACUUUGAACUUUGAACUUUGAACUUUGAAUUUUGAAAAAUAAUAAAUAAUUGAAAAAAAAUACGUGAAUAGUAGCCAAGAUUUUGGCUAUAAAUAGAGGGGCUCAUUCCCUCAUUUGCUCAUCCAAUUUUGAGAAGAGUUUUUUUUAUAUUUAGAGAGAGUUUAGAGAGCUUGAAAUUAUAAGCUCUUGUUUUAGUGUUUUGAGAGUUUGGGUGUAUUGGGGUUUUGGGAAGUGAACUAAAAUACUACAAUACUUGUAACUCCAUUUCACUAGUAAAAUAUUUUCCGUCUGUCUUCACCCGUGGACGUAGGUUAAAAGCCGAACCACAUAAUUUCUAGUGCCCUCUUUUAUGCUUGUUCUUUAUUUUUUUCCAAUUUCAUUUUAGCUGCGGCCCUACUUCACCAAUCAAUUUUCUAACAAACUCGUAUUAAUGUGUACUUACUUCAUUCAAGAGAUUAGUGUUUUUCUCUCUUUUUUUCUAUAAAAAAAAAAAUUGAAAUGCCUUUUCGCAUUUUAUAGGUGAAAGGAAGAAACAUAAUAUCGCAGGACUAGAAUAAAGGAGCCUAUUCUGGUACCUAUUGUCCAAGGAAGCUUCGGUACAUUGGGUAGGCACUGCCAUGGAAGUCAAUCUUACCAGAGCCAGGCGGAGUCGUUCCUAAAGGAAUAUAUAUUAGCAUAUCCAUUUGUCCCGUACACUUCAAUUGUCGAUAGCAUUUUUGUUUGCAAGAUGGUAUGUUUUUUGUCGUUACUGCGUGGUGGUAUUUACUAGAAAAUAUUUUGAAUGCAUAGUUUUUAUUUAAUUAGUUAUAAAAUUUUUAUACCCUCUGUUUUCCAUAAGAAUGUGUUCCUUUUCAGGUCUAUUAUCUUGCCAAAUUGAUUAGUGCUGUUCAAUUUAAAUGUUAUUCCAAUUUCUCCAACAUACAGUGGGUCGAGUGGAGUAACAGGUGAUUGAAUAUUUUCAUUUAGUUCAAUUUUCAUUUCCUUUUCAAUCGGUAAAGUUUAAUCAUUUUCUUAAAUCGACAACUGAUGCAUGGCCAUAUCAACCGUCCAUGCCAUUUUUAUAACAGCAAUGCCUUUGUACUUUGUGUUUUGGUCGGAUCUCAGAGUUUCUUGGAUAAACAAUUGUGCAUCCUAUGAUCUAGGCAUGGUCGUUUGGACUGAACUAGUUUUUAAUAAAUAAUUGCCCAAGGAUUUAGUCUCAGUGUUACAGCCCAGUCUUUGUUGUCCAUACUCUUUCGCCCGUCGUGGAUGAGUGCCAUAACAGCUUCUUAGAUAGCGUUUACUUUUUGGAUUGGAGUGAGAAUCUUGAGAAGUGGGAAUCCUAGGAUUGGGAGUGUGGAGUGGGAGUGAGAGUAGGUUGUUUACUUACACUGGAAUGAAAGUAUGGAAUAGAGAUCAGAAUCCAAUUUAUGUGUUUACUUUGUCUUGGAUUGGGAGUAAAUAGUUUCAAAUUACAAUUUUAUCCUUAUGUAAAGAAUUAUAGUUUUUAAUUACAAAGUUAAUAAAAAAUAUAUUUAAUGAAUAAACAUUUAUUUUAUUAUAUUUGUAAAUUUAUAAUAAUUAUUAAUAUUCUUAAUUAUGAACAUCACAAUUUUUUUUAUAAUUUUAAUUAUAUAAAUUAAAAAUUGUUGAUAAGGGCAAUAUAAAUGAAAUAUUUUUACUAUUAACUUAGUAUGAAAUUAAUAUUUUCUUAGAAUAUACUAUUUAUUAGUAUUAAUUACUAAUAUUAAAUAAAUAUAAUACUAUUAUUUUUAAAUAAAUAUAAUAAUAUUAUAUUUUCAAAUAAAGAUUGUAUAUAGUAAUAUUAUUAAUUCUCUCUUAAUAUAAUAAUAUUAUUUUUAAGUAAAUUAAACUUAGAAUCAAACCCAAUUAUUAUUUAGUUAAAUAUAAUAAUAUUAUUUAAAUAUUUAUUAAAUAUAGUUAUAGUAAAUUUAAUAAAAAGAAGGGUAAAUAUAAAAUGAAACGUUAUUUUAUUUUAUAUAAUUAUAUUAAAUUUAUUAAUAUAAUAUUAUUUAGUACAAAAUUAAUAUUUUCUUAGAAUAAACUAUUUAUUAUUAUUAAUUAUUAAUAUUAAAUAAAUAUAGUACUAUUAUUUUUAAAAUAAAUAUAAUAAUAUUAUAUUAUUAAAUAAAGAUAGCAUAUAUUUAUUAAUUCUCUAUUAAGAUAAUAUUAUUAUUUUUAAGUAAUUUUAACUUAUAAUCAAUGUAAAUUAUUAUUUAGUUAAAUAUAAUAAUAUUAUUUAAAUAAAUAUAAUUAUAAAUUAUUUUAUUUUAUUAAAUUAAAUUAAAAACAAAGGGUAGAAAAGGGAGAGGUGGGAGUGGGACCAUGGGAGUCCCACUCCCACUCCCCACUCCAAAAAUGGAUGGGGCCCACGGAGUGAGAUUCUCAAUCCCUCUCUAUUUUGUUGAAGUAAACACUGGAGUAGGAGGAAUCCACACUUCUCACUCCCACUCCAGAAAGUAAACACUGCCUUAAUGUUUUGAAGUGGCUUUUGCACGGUUGUUGUUUCCUUCUGAAGCUAUAGAGUAGCUAUGGAUAUAGCAGAUGCAGAUGCCACUAAUUUUUAUACUGGCCUUUCAUCAUCAAAAUGAAAAGGAUCAAGCGGGAACUUAAAAGAAGGUUGAUUUGAAUGAAACACCCUCUAUGCAAGCCAAGAGACUCCAAUUAAGACUGCAAGCUCUGCUUAAAACAGGUAUUUAUAUACCUUAUUAGUUUUUGUACCUUUACAAUUAGUGAUUUUUGUAUCAAAAGAGAGGUUAAUUUUUAGUACACAAGUGCGGCUCUUCCUCUAGACAACUGCCUAGAGCCCCACUAUAGAUGAAGACCCCAAAUUUUUCUCUAACAUUAUAGCUAUUAAAUUAUUCAUUUAUUUUUAUUUUUAUUUUUAUUUUUAUUAUUCUAUAAUAAUCUUUGUUCAAAUAAAUUAUCAAAUCCCUACAAAAUCUCUUUUUAAAGUUGGAAUAAACAAUGUUAAUCCUAUUUACUCCUACAAAAUCUCUACUUAAUGUUAUUUCAUUUAAAACUCUAUAAAAGUCACACAUUUGUUAACUUGUUAUCCAUUAAUAUUUUUAUUCAUUAAAAGAAAAGCACGAGACAUUCAAUGCUUCAAUUCAUAAGGAAAAAAAGAAGCUUUUUUUAAUUUUUACUUAAGAAAAAAAUUAACUAUUUUCAUUGACCGCUGCUGUUUAAAACUUCAAUCCAUCAAAAUUAGAGUUUCAAAUAUCCAAGUUUUAUUCUUCCUAUUCUCUUCUUAAUCAGUUGUGUUAUUCAAUUGUUAUUGUUUCUUUUUUAAAUAUUAUUGUUGUUUUCUUUUAAUUAUCCAGCAUAAUUGUUUACUUGUUUUCUCUUCUUUCACUAAAAAAAGAAAAAAAUGUCUAAUAGAAAAUGUGCAUCAAGAUACAAAAAACUUGGGAAAAAAGAGAAGAAUAAAAAAGUAGUUCGAUCUAAAAAAUGAGCUCUUGAUAAGUUUGUCAAAAAUAGUAAAAAAAGAUAUGAAUUAUAGUGAGGAAUUAGUGAUUGAUGAAGUUUUUCAAAAUUAAAAUUAAUAAAAAUUUAUUUAAGAUCAAAUAAGUCGCAAGAAAAGUUAAAUGAUUUAGCUAUAUUGAGAAGAAUGUAUUAGCGAAAUUAGAAAUAAAAAUUUGAGCAAUAAUUUUGCACCUAAGAAAGCUAGAAAAUUUGAUUUUAAAUAAAUAACUUUUUAGUAAAACAAAUACAUAUAUUUGACCUCAAAUUUUUUAAAAGGCCUAAUUAAAGCAAUUCAUCUAAGGCCCCAAAAUUAGUUGAGCCGCCCCUAUUAGUACAUUCAUAUCUCAACAAAAUGUUAGAACCUUUGUAGCACUAGAGACAUUUUCUUAGAGCAUUUACUGACCUUUCUAUGAUUGCAGUGGAGACAGGUCGACGCUACUUCCCUCAUUGCUCAGAAGUGGUUGAUAAGUUUUUGGAUUGUGAUUGGUCCGAUUCUUCCCUCCUAGAAAAGGGUACUCCUGAAGAGCAGAAACUCAAAAGGGCACGCUUCAUGAAACUUAAAGAAGACCUGAAGAAGGCAUUUUACAAGGACAUGGCUGAGAAAAAUCCCUCAGGUCUGUCGUCAUCUUCUCCGAAGGAAGGAGUAAAGUGUAAGGGUAGGAAAAGGUGAUGCUUAGCUGCUUGUCUUUGUUAUUCAUUUAUAGGCAACUAAGUGUUUUAGUGAGUUUGGUUGUUACUUGUAGAGAGAUACUCUUAGGGCAUAUGUUAUGGUUAUGUUGUAUAAUAGCAGAGAAACUUUAAGCAUGCAUUGUUGUAUUUUCCCAGAUAUUUGGCUUGUAAUACACCAAAUGACAAAGAAUUUUCUAUUUUUAGAGGGGAAAGUUAUGUCAGUUAAUUAUUUAUUUAUUUUGUCUGUCUAAUUCAGUUUACAUAGCUUUUUUUUUUUUUCCUUUCCAAAAAAAUCUGCAUAUCUUCAUCUGCAAUUUAAGUCAUUGGUAACUUCUUUCAGGGAGGAAGGAAAAAAAAAAAGCAUUUGUAAGUAUAUUUUACAGUACUGAUUUUCCUAAAAAAUUAGUUAAGGUGAGAUUAAUGUUCUUUGAAAUAGAUGGAUAUGCAGAAUCUUCAUCGAAAUUGAAAUUAGAAAUGGAUGGAUACGAGUGACUUAUAUUAAGAAUUUUUUAGUAGAAUGCUUAUAGAAAAAUUUGUAGCUCAUUACUCUCUAGAAGGAAAAUAAAUUUUAGAUUGUAAAUAUUAAAUAUUAAAAUUAUAAUAUAAUAAAUGUGUGACUUAAGGUGUACAAUACCCAUAUAAUAAUAAUUAAGAAAAGAAAAAUCAAAUUUUGUAAAUUACCAAUUUUCUCUUGAAAUUUGAUAUUCUAUAUUAACGUAGGUGUUGCAUGGAGUGGGCUAGUACAACUGAAAGAAACUAACUAAAGUAAAAAAAAAAAUAUCAGAAAAAUACGACGAGCUUCUCAUAUUUUUCAAGUAAAAAAAAAAACUAAAAUUAAUUAUUUUUAUAACCAAAUUCUAAUGCUUGAAGGUUGCUGGAAUUGACCAUUGUAAUUUUGUCAUCCUCGUUAUUCACUGGCCAUCGUAGCCUUCCUCCAUUAAAAUGAGAGUUGUUUUUCGGACCACGACGUAAUAAAAAUAAUAUCGAUUAAUACUAAUAAACCUAUUUUGAUUAUUUUGUAGUGUGAUGGUCUAGUAAGUAUCAGUACUUAUCCUAGCAUCCGAACAUGUGAUAAAAUUAUGCGAGUCUCUAUAAAAUACUAUUUAAAUUAUGUAUUAACUAGACAGUUCUAUGUAGAUAUUUCGUAUAUAUUUAUGAUAAUUGUUGAAAAAAAGAACGUAAAAUGAGAUUAAUGAACAUUCAUAAAUGUGGAAAUUAACACAACUAAGAUUUAUGAUGAAAUAAUUUUAUGUCAAAUGAGUGUAAGUGAAUGGAUGUUAAAAUAACUUGUAAUAUAUAUUUUUUGAACUGUUAUUUACACAAGUUUGCCACCAACAGUAAAUUAAAUUAUGAAUAUUUUAAUAAUUCAAGAUCUCAUUCGAUGUUUAUAGUAUUUUUCAGAGUACAAAAUUGUAAAUGGUCUCACCCUUCAUAGUAUAAUGCUAAACCUUUUAAAAAAUUUAUUCUAUUAUAGACGUAUUAGUUAGUUAUAUUAUAUUAUAGACAAAAUUGAAGCUAAAAAUAGUACUUCAUCUAUCAUACAUUACUUUAAUUUUUUUUUUAUCAAAUUAUGAGCUGGUGAAAGGAUGCAACAAAUUACGUCAAACAUUGUAAAAUUUAUCAAUCACUAAAUAAAUAUCAUGUUAUAUGUGUGUGUGUCUCUCUCUCUAUCUAUAUAUAUAUAUAUAUAUAUAUAUAUAUAUAUAUAUAUAUAUAUAUUACACAAAAUCUGAUUCUCAUGAACUAAAAAGACAGGCUUUGGAUGAUGUAUCAUACUCAUAAAUCUAUUUUUAUUAAUGAUUAUACAAACAUAUCUUUUUUUUUUUCUUUUUUUUUGUGUGUUGCUUUUGAUAGAAACAUAUGAUUCACCUCUGUUUCUCCGAUGCUUGCUUGCUUCAUGAUUGGUCAACUUGGGUCAAACUUUCGUCUUUAAAUCACAUAGGUAGAUCAUGAUUCAAGCUUCAGUUAUAAGCCUUUCAUUGUGACUGGUAUUAUUCUUUCUUGAUGUACAUAUAUAUAUAGAUUCAGUUUGAAUGUGGUCCUUGAUAGUUUCAUGGAAAAUGCAAACGAAAUGUCAGCAUCUUUGAGUUUUGUCUCAUCAUAUCCGUCUUGUUGGUCUACUAAUCAACCAACAGGCUCUGAAACUUGCUCUGAUCUUGAUAAUUUUAACUUAAGGAGGCAAAGCAGCAAUCCUGAAGAGCCAUGGCUUGACGCUGAGAUUGUCGUUGAGGGCAAAUCAGUGGCAGUUAAUCGCUGCAUAUUGUCUGCACACAGUCAAUUUCUUCAUUGGCUUUUUAAUUUGAGAAAUGAUGGUUCUGUGAGUGAGGGGAAACCCAAGUAUCUUAUGACUGAUUUGGUGCCUUAUGGGAAGGUUGGAUAUGAAGCGUUCAAUGAUAUCUUGCAUUAUCUUUACACUGGGAAGGUUAAGCCAUCUCCUCUAGUAGUGUCCACGUGUGUUGAAGAUGCUUGUGCUCAUGAUGCUUGCCCUCCUGCUGUCAAUUAUGCUAUUGAGUUGAUGUAUGCUUCUGCUGCUUUUCAGAUGAAGAACUCGUUUUGCUUUUGCAGGUAAUUGUGCUUCCCUGCUAUUUGUAUUGCUUAAAUUUAUGCUUCUUGGUAUAGUUUUAACAUUUAUGGAAUUGAAAUCAAUUUCAAUUGUGACUUGCAAAGAGCCAAAGCAAGUAAAUGUGAAGCAACUUCAGUGAUUCGCAAUAUUAGUCAUCGCAGGAGAUCCAAAAUUUGUAGAUACUGUAGAAUUGUAGAGCCCAAAACUUCAUCUUAUCUUGCAAGAGUUUGUUGUUUUAUUUUCAAAUAGACAAAAAAAAGAUGAUGAUGGGCAGCGAACUCUAGGGAUCAAUGCUUGCUGACACUGACACCCAAUGCUUGAUGUCUAGCUUGCUUAUUUUUCCAACAAUGACACUACCUUUCUAGUAAAUGAAAUAUUAUUCUACAUCUAUAUAUUGGAACUUUGACAAACUUCGCUUUUCCUUUGUUGAUUCACUGGUCUCACUUUUAUUCAAUUGCCCGAUUAUGAAAUGGUCUAUUGGAGACUAGCAUUGGAAGGUUUCUUGUGGAAAAAGUUUUACUUGACCACCGAUUUUCAUUUUGGUGGGUGUCAGCGCAUGCUCUGGCUUGACUAUUCUGUUAUUUAGGUUGUUUUAUCUGUAUCUUCUCACUCACUUGAUAGUUAGUUCUCUCAUGCUUCCAAGCUCAAAGAUGAAUGCAAGAGAUUCUCUUUUUCCCCUCUAGACUAUAACCUAUCAAAUCAUUAAUGCUAUAGAAUAACAUCUUGUGUAGGCGGGCUUAUGUGUCUGAACAUUGGUCCAUCGGCAUUUUCAAUAAGCAUGGCACUGAUUUUUCGUCUCAUUAUUAUUUUCCUGCCCAGAUUGUCCCCUUUACCCAGAUUGUCCCCUUUAAGUAACAUAUUGAAGGAGAGCAACAUUCUUAUAUAUGUUUUAUGAUGUUUACCAAUAAUUACCCACCACGCGGUAUUUGAAUUUUGAAUGUAUUAUUCUGACUCAAAACUCUAUCUGUCGGUGUAGCUUCGUCUUCUGAACUUUGUUGAGAAGGCUUUUGUGGAAGACGUAAUCCCAAUCCUUGUGGCUGCCUUGCAUUGCCACCUGAACCAGCUUCGUUCUCUCUGCAUCCACAGAGUUGUAAGGUCAAAUCUUGACAAUAUAUAUCUCGAGAAAGAGCUUCCUGAGGAAGUUUCAAGUGACAUCAAAUCACUUCGUUUCGAAUCUAACCAGGAGUCUGAAGCUAACAUAGCAGAAGUGGAUCCUCGAUAUGCAAAAAGAGUCAGAAGAAUCCACAAGGCACUGGACACUGAUGACAUUGAACUGUUGAAGCUUCUUCUGAAUGAAUCUGAUGUCACUUUAGAUGAUGCUUACGCUCUGCAGUAUGCUGCUGCCUAGUGCAACCCUAAGGUUUUAAAGGAAGUGCUCAAUAUGGGCUUGGCUGAUCUCAAUCUUAAGGAUGCAAGAGGACGUACGGUGCUUCAUGUGGCUGCAAGGCGUAAGGAGCCAGCAGUGCUGGUGACCCUGCUCAGCAAGGUAGGCAUGCGCAUCAGAAACUACAUUAGAUGGGCAAACAGCUUUAGCAGUCUGUCGGAGAAUGACAAGGCGAAAGGAUUAUAUUGAAGCUGCAAAGCAGGGGCAGGAAACUAACAAAGACCGGUUUUGCAUUGAUGUCCUUGAGAGAGAGAUGAGAAGGAACUCCGUGUCUGAGAACUUGGCAAUGUCAUCCGAGUUGAUGGAUGAUGAUUUCCAAAUGAAGCUGGACUAUCUGGAAAAUAG